UUUAAUUUAUCUUAGUAAACUUUAAUUCCAACAUAAUUAAUGGUUAAAUUUAUCAAUCAAUUGAUAAAUCAUUUUAGAUAAUAUUAUGAUAAAUUAAAAAAAUUUGGUUGAUUUAGUUUUUUGAAGUUGUUUUGGUUUUCAAAUUACUCAAUCGAGUUGAACCGAAUAAUCGAGAAAACCUCAUCGAGCCCACUGAAAUUAGUUGGUUUUGAUUUGAUAAUUUGGUUUAAACCGAAUAGUGCACAGAAUUGGACCGGAUCUGAAUCGGUCUUAUUGGGUCAUAAGUUUAAUGGACCCAAUAAGGCCCAAUGCAAGCCCACGAUCCGAGAUAAGCCGAUGUAGUAGGGAUGUCGAGAGCCGAGAACAAGCGAGCUGGGCAGCUUGUGUUUGCUUAUUUAUUAAACGAGUCAGACACGUAUUGGUGCGUUAAAAUUUCAAGCCGAAAAAUUCAGCACAUUUGCGACUUGUUUAUUAAUGAGCUGAACACGAACCCGCUCACAAAUAGUAAGUUAAAUUAUUAGCCCUACUACUAGCUGAAAAGUUAAAAGAAAACUAAAAAAUUUAGAAUUUUAAUCAAAUAAUUAAAAUUCAUAAAAUAUAGAUUUCUUUAUAUUUGAAUUGGCCUAAAAUCCAAAUGAGUAAAAACAAUUGGGUGAAAAGUUAAAAGAAAACUAAAAAAUUUGAAUUGAUCUUUUCAUAUUUGGAGUGGCCUAAAAUCCAAAUUAGUAAAAAAUUGUAAUAUAUAUAUAUAUAUAGAGUGCGUCAGGGGUGCUUUUGGAAGCACGGAGCACUCCGUGCUUCCAAGUUGUUUUUGAUGUUGGGACUUUUGAAUCGACGAUUGGCUCCGUUAGACUUGAUCUAGAGUAUUUGAAGUAUCUAGAAAAUAAAUUUUGCGAUUUUUCGAUAUCAUUUGCCUAGUGAUCGAAGUGGCUCAAAAUCAACGGCUGAAAAUAAAAAUCUUACAAAAUAUGAUGAUAUGACAUUAAAAUUUUAGAUCAAAGUUAUUGAUCUUGUUUUAUAUGGUAUAAAGAAUUUUCUAUCAAAAUUUCAUGUGAUUUGGAUAUUUUUACACCGUUAAACUUGCAAACAGCUCACCACGGCCAUUAAAAUUAUUAAUUUUGAGCCUCUUCGAUCACUAGGCAAAUAAUAUCGAAAAAUCGCGAAAUUUAUUUUCUAGGUACUUGAAAUACUCUAGAUCAACUCUAACAGAGCCGAUCGUCGAUUCGAAAGUCCGAACAUCGAAAACAACUUGAAAGCACGGAGGGCUCCGUGCUUCCAGAAGCAUACCAGCCCACUCUCUCUCUCUCUUUCUCUCUCUCUCUCUCUCUCUAUAUAUAUAUAUAUACUAUUUAUAAAAGCGUGAGUUUUGAAUUUUUUUUUUUUUCUAAAAAUGCCUCUAUCUUUUUUAUUAAUAGUUUUAUGUUCAGUAAUUUUCAACCAAUCAUUUCAAAUAAUUCACUAAGUAAUAAUUUAUUCUCAAAUAAAGAUAUUAAUUUUUUGCCAUUAGAUCUUUUCUAACGAUUGAAAAUAAAAGUAUCUGUCACUUUUUGUGACAAUAAUAUCCUUAUUUUUAUAUCACAUUUUUUAUGUACGCGUUUCUCAAAUAUUUUCUUUCUCACUCAUAAUAUACGUACCCAUCAAUCCUUUCUCAACGUAAUAUCCGUAAAUUUUUCAAAUAUCUCAUUAAUCUACCUAUCAUAUAUGUCAACUACCUACAUAAUAUCCGGUUAACCUUUCUCACACGUAAUAUCCACGCAUUUUUCAAAUAUCUCAUCAAAAUUUUAAUCUUUUCUCUUCGUUUCUAAAGAAUUUUUUCAGCCUAUCAUAAUUUUGAAUUAAAUAUAUCAUCGCAUUUGAAUUUAAAUAUUAAAAAGGAUCAAAAUAAAAUUUUAAAUUUUAAAUUAAAUAUGAAUUUUAUUACGAAAAUAUCUCUAUCUUUUUAACUAAUUUUUUUAUGUCGAGGAAUUUUGAGUUCGUCAGAAAUAUAUAAUAUCUCCAUUAUCUUCGCAUUUAAACUUAAAUCUUAAAGUAGAUCAAAAUUAAAUUUUAAAUUAAACAUCAAUUUCUUUUCGAAAAUGUCUCUAUCUUUUUUACUAAUUUUUUCAUCGUCAGAAAUUUUGAACCAUUUUUCUAAAUAAUUCAUUAAAUUUUGGAUUUCUCAAAAAUAUAUAAUAUCUUUGCUACCCACGUAUUUGAAUUUAAAUCUUAAAGUGAAUCAAAAUUAAAUUUUAAAAAUUUUAAAAUUUUUGAAUUUCAAACUUAAAGUGGAUUGAAAUUAAAUUUUAACUUUAAAAUUAAACAUAAUUAAAAUUUUAAUUAUAUAGAAAAUAUCUUAAUAUUUAUCCAUACCCAAUUUUAUCUCAUCAUAAUACUUAUCUAUACAUAAAAUAUAUCUUAUUUUAAUACUUUCUCAUCUCCAUCUAUACGUUUCUUAAAUAUAAUAAAGUAUAUCCUUUUUCAUUUUUACUAUACGUUUUCUCAAAUAUAUUAUUUUAGUAAUAUCUUAUUCGUUUCUCAUCGUCGUUCUCGAUCACCUUCGCCACAGUUAGAAAGGUAUUUUGCUACACCUAAUUCAUUUUAAUGUGUCAUAAUAUAAUUUUCUACCUAAUUCGUCUUUCGUAUACUUUGUUUUACUUUUUAAGAUUUUUAAAUGCUAAUAAAUGUGCAUCUUCAUGACUUUUUAUCUCUCACAUUAAUUGCGCAAAUCAUUAGCAUAUUAUUUUUAGUAAUAUCUUUUUUCAUUUUCACCUGUAUUUUUUUUAAAUAUUGUCAAAUAUUUUUUUUACUAAUAUCCUUUCUUAUUUGUCCUCGUCGCUGGCACCGGCAUAUCGUCAUCACCGACACCGGCAUGUUGUUGCCUUCGCUACCUUUGCCACAUUUGGAGAGGUAUUUUGAUCUAAACUGAAUUUUUUUUUAAUAUGCUUUUAUACUAUUUUAGUAUAUCUAUUUUUUAGUAUUUUCUUAUUUACAUUUAUACAUUAGCACCAGCAUAUCGUCAUCGUCAUCGCCGACAACGGCAUAUUGUCGCCUUCGUCACCUUUGCCACAUUUGGAGAGGUAUUUUGAUCUAAACUAAAUUUUUUUUAAUAUGCUUUUAUACUAUUUUAGCAUAUCUUUUUUUUAGUAUUUUCUCAUUUACAUUUAUACAUUUAUCAAAUAUAAAAUAUAUAUUUUGUUAGUAAUAUCUUUUUUUCAUUUUCAUCUAUAUUUUUCUCAAAUAUUUCAAAUAUUUUUUAGUAAUAUCUUUUUUUCAUUUGUCCCCAUCGCCGGCACCGGCGCAUCGUCAUCGUUCUCCUCAUCAACAUCACCGGCGCUGGCACAUUAUCACCUCGACAUCACCGUCGCCGGCACAUUGUCAAAAUUAAUUUUAAAUUUUGUUCAAAAAUUUUAAUGUGAAUUCAUCAACUUAAAAUUUAGAAUUAAUUCAAAUUUUAAAUUUUGUAUACACGUUAAAAAUAAUUGUAUAUUAUAAAAUAAAUAUGAAAAGCAUUUAUAAUGUAACUAAAUUAAAAAUAUAUAAAACUUAUCCGAAGAUAAAUUACAGUUAAAAUUUGAUAAAUAGACUCAUACCACCAAUAAAUAUUUAAAUUUAAAAUAUAAAUAUAAAUUUUAUUUGAUUUAAUGUGACGUGCAUUAUAUAUAUAUACUAGUUGAAUAUACGUGCAAAUGCACGUAACAAUUAUUAUAAUUUAUUUCAAAUCAAUAUAAAUUUGUAUAUUAUAUAUAUUCAAAAUUUUACAAUAAAAAUUAUACUUAUAAAUUAAUAUGUUAUAUUUUAUUAGAAAAUAUUUAUAAUAUCCUACAGUGUUCUUUUUUUUUAUAUAUACAUCGAAUAUUUUUAUAUACUUUUUGAUUUUUGAUGAAUCAAAUUUAAAUAUGUGUUUUAAAUUAAAAGCAUCAAAAUUUAAUUUAUAUUUAUUUUAAAAUUUAAAUUUAAAUUUUGAUUCACUGUAAUAAAAAAAUUAAUUGUUAAUUCAAAUAUGAUAUCAAAAAUUAAAUUUAAUUCAUAAUUUAAAUUCAAAUUUUAAUUUUAAUGUAAAAUAGAUUAAUAGAAAUGCUUUUUUUUUAACAAAUUGAUCAUAACCAUUUAUUUUUAUUUGAGAUAUUUUUAACAAAUUGAUUAUAAUUAUAUGAUUAAAUUUAUAGAUAGAUAGGAAUACUAUUUUUUAAUAAAUUGAUCAUAACUGUUCUUAUUUGAGAUAUUUUUUUAAUAAAUUGAUCAUAACCAUUUAUAGGGAAUAGAUUUUUAUAUAUAGUAAAGAUUUAAUAGAUUGAUCAUAACCGUUCAUUUUUAUUUGAAAUGUUUUUAACAAAUUAAUCAUAACCAUUCGUAGGGAAUAUUAUUUUAUUUCUUUUUGGAUUCCGUCUGUCAUUGUCAGAAUUUCCAUACGCUUAUAUAUAUAUAUAUAUAUAUAUAUCAAUUUAACUGGGGAUUAUUAUCAUCCUAACCGCAUAUUCUUUCAUUCAAUUGCCAAAAACUCAAUAGUACCAAGGGUUUGGUACUAUUGAUAUUGAUUCACUAAGGUUUAGUGGUGGUCUCUCUAGUGUUGAGUGGGUGGUUAGUUGAAUAGUAUGAUCUAAAGUGUGGAAUUGAUUAAAGUGUAAAUCUAACGGUUAAAAAGUUGACAACAAAAGAACCCAAAUACCACUAAUAGUAUUCCAGCUCAACUCUAUAUCACUUUCUCUCUCUAUAGAGAGAGAGAGAGAGAGAGAGUCUAGCUACUAUAUUCUUAUAGGUCCCUUAAUUUACUUAUAAAUUUUUUGUCGAUAGAUUUAUCCCUUUGACCAUUUUUAUCCGUUAAAUCGUAUUAUUCAACUAACUACCAAUUCAACCCUAGAAGACAACUAUUAUCCUAAUCGGGAAUCACUAUUAUCCUAAUCAUACAUUUCUUUAUCCAACGGUCGAAAACUUAUAAAUAUAAAAGGCUCUAUACUCAUAAGAGUAUAGUAGCCCUAACUUAUAUAUAGAAUACUCAAUAUAUUUAAGCUAUAUUAAACUGAACAUUAGUGAGCUGACUCGAGCUCGUGUUCGACUCGUUAAGAUUUCGAGCUAAAAAAUUCAAAUCGUAUUCGGCUCUUUUAUUAAAUGACCGAUUGAACUCGAACUCAUCUCAAGUUGAAUGCUAACGGGCUCGCAAACAACAAACUGGAUUGCUAACCCCCGAUAUUGAGGUUCAUGUAACAGUACACUAGCAGAUGAAACAAAAUUGUGAUGAAAAUAUAUACGCAAAUGCUUCUUUGUUUUUUGAUACGGUCAUAGAAAAUAUAUCGUAAAAAGUUCAUUAUGAUAUCCAUAACAUUAUAUUAUGCACGGAAAGUACAUUUUUAUUAGAGUUUUUCGCUCCAAUUAACGCAAUGACAAAAUUGUAUGAGACCCAUCUCCUACUUUUACUUCCAUUUGUUUACAUCUUCUUAGCCUUGAUUUUUCUUAGAAUUACAUUAAGUUACUUUUGUUGAUUAAAUUAAAAAUUUUAUCAAGUUCUGUGGCAAUUUAAUUUAGCAAUUACUAAAUAUUAUUUAGCGAAUAUAUACAAAAAAAUUAAAUGCUAAAAUCUUUAUUAAUUGAUGAAAAAAUUAAGGUAAAAAUGCAGGGGACCCGUCAACUAUAUGCUAUUUUGAAAUGCACCCUAAACUUUUAUUUUAAUGUUAAACAAUUAUUUUAAUCAAUCAAAUAAAAGAUUUCAUGAAUUGAUUUUUUAAAUAUUUUUAUAGAUACAACUUAAAUAUUUAUCCCUCAACCAAACACUGCCUUAAUGACUAAUAAUAAAAAUUAACUUACUUUAGUAGAAUACUCAAUUUUUUUUUAAAAAAAUCAGAAAUUAAUGGCGUUUUAUGAAGAAAAAAGUUGAGGUAAAAAUUUCAAAAUUCCAUGUAGUUGAGGGGCCUCGAUACAUUUCUAUCAAAGUUAAAGGGGUAAGUUACAAUAUCUCAAAAAAGAAAAAAAAUCUCCCCAACGAAGAUGUAGAGUAAACGCCUCUUCGUAGUAUUAUACUCUCUCUCUCUCUCUCUCUCUCUCUCUCUCUCUCUCUCUCUCUCUCCCCCCCCUUAAUGGAAACGCCGCGGCUCCAAAUCUCUCAAUCGUCGGAGGAGAUAAUCCGAUCUCUUCAGGUCGCACAGAUCCAAUCCAAUUCCCCAUUUCCGCCACAGAUUCGAUCCAAUUACGCUUUUCCUUUUUUUUUGCUCAAUUUGGUUUGAAUUUGAAUUCGAAUUUUGAUUUGUUUGAUUUUGGUUUCAGAUGCGUAUCAGGUGCCAAUAUUUGAGAUCCUAUGCUUCUUAGAUUGAACUCGGACGAAGGGAGACGCGAAGUUUUAGGUAAAAAUUGAACCUUUUUUUGUUUUUUUCCUGUAAUCUAAUUGGAAUAGCAUGCUUGGAGAGGUUUGAAAUUUGAAUCUUAUAAAUGGAGGAAUGGCUAUGCGGAAAAUUGAGUAAUUUUGUUGUGGGAAGUGAGAAAUUGUGAAGAAAAAUGAGAAUUUCGAAAUUGAGGGGAAAAAAUGGGAAUUAUAAAGGGGGAAUAAUUAGAGUAGAAGAAUGGGCAAAGGAGUUAUUCUAUCCCUUUAGCUUGGCCUCUAAUUAAUCCAAAAUGCACCUCGAAGUGUUAGGGUAUCUUUGGCCCUCUAAUUGUUGUUCAAAACAUACUUUGAGGUUAAGCUCUGUUCCAAAAUCUUCUCAACAGAUUUUCUCUGCAGCAGAUUCAGAAGCCCAAAAUUGGAGCUUUUUUCUUCUUUGGGUGUUAGAAUUUGACAUCUGCAUCUCGAAACAGUAGAGGACAUGAUAUGGCUGCAGCUUACAGCAGAAGCAAAAGUAGGGCCAAUCAGACACUUAAUUUCUUGAUUCUGUACUGCUACAAUUAUGCAACGCCUUUUAUUCCUCUUUUAUUGGUGAGAGAGGAGUUUCCUAUGUACUUUAAAUGGCAUUUAUAUCAUGAUGGCCUCACAUGAUGAUGUAACUUCAGAUAGCAGCAUCAGUUGCCAAAAUGAUUUGGGUCAUGAAUUUAAAGCCUUACUGUCCUUAAAUUUUUUUUUUUGUGUUUUGUUUAACUUCUUGAUGAAUUAUGUGUUUUUGAUACACAGAUGUGAAUUUGGAUUAAUGAGCAAUGCAGAGAUCACGUAGAGCUCUUCUGCAGAGAAGAGCUGCUGCGUUGGAGAAGAGCAGCGUUGCCGGGAAGAAGCGCCUUUACGAAGUGUCGCUUUCUUUGCUCAUCUUAUCAUGGGUUCUUAUCUUCCUCCUCAAUUUUUGGAUCAGCCAUGGCAAUGGUUAUAGAGGUGAAUUUCCGAAUCGCCACCUUGCAUGAUUGUGUGCGGAUUAGUUAUUGAAAAGGAAAAGAGAGAGAUUAUGGUGUAGUAGGUAGAUGUUUCUCAAAGAUUAAGGUUGCUUAACAGUUUUUAUGUAGUGUUUCUAUCGUGUUCAUCGAUUCAUUUAUUGUUUGGUGGUUCAUUAGGAAAGUUGUAUGGUACUCUGGCUAGUUCUUUCGGCUUUUUGAUCUCAAUAAAGUUUAUUAUGGGGCUUCUUUUUCACUACCUGCUCAUUUCUACCUAGUAAUAUUGUUUAUUUUUUAACUUUUACAUGAACUAAAUUGAUGUUUUCACUUUGUCUAUCAAUUAAAUAUCGUCGAAGUCACAAUCUUACCUUUCAAUACCUUCCUAUAUUAUCUGCUUCCUUGCAUACACUUUCAAGAGAAUGAAGUUUACGCCUGAAACAGCCUAAUUAAUGUUUUUUUCACGUAAAUUCAUUUCACUUAUUCGUUUUCGUGUUUUAAUGGCAUGCAGAGGGGCAGGGUUCUGCUGAUUGUGAACCUAGCUUGAAUGAAGGUUCUCUAACUCCAGAAAAGGAAUUGAGUUCUGGAGAUAAUUUCGCAGACUCAAAUUCCACCUUUAAUGACUAUGUUGAGAAUGCCCCGACUUCCGAGGGUGAGACUCUCAACGAUAAAACAGGGAUUCUAGCUAACGAUGACGAAGUUAUUCUUUCAUCGGCUCGGAAUGAGCAAACAUCUGAUGCAGACACCGAUCAAGGAACCAAAUCGGAGAAAGAAAGUGCUCCAAAAAGUGAUAGAUUGUCCCGAAUAGCUCCUCUUGGACUUGACGAGUUCAAGAACAAAGCGAUAAAUUCGAAAGGGAAGGUCAUUUCCAGCCAAACCGGCACUGUCAUACACCGAAUAGAGCCCGGUGGGAAAGAAUACAAUUACGCCUCUGCUUCUAAAGGCGCAAAAGUUCUAGCUUUCAACAAGGAGGCUAAGGGCGCUUCAAAUAUCUUAGACAAGGAUAAGGACAAAUACCUCCGAAAUCCAUGUUCAGUAGAGGGGAAGUUCGUAGUCAUUGAACUCUCAGAAGAAACCCUGGUGGAUACAAUUGAGGUGGCGAAUUUUGAGCACUAUUCAUCUAAUCUGAAGGAUUUCGAAUUGUUGAGUAGUUUAGUCUAUCCCACAGAAAAUUGGGACAAGAUCGGGAAUUUCACUGCUGCGAAUGUUAAGCAUGCACAGCGGUUCUCUCUUCAAGAGCCGAAGUGGGCUAGGUACUUGAGACUUAAUCUUUUAAGCCAUUAUGGUUCAGAAUUUUACUGUACUUUGAGUUCAGUUGAAGUAUAUGGAGUGGAUGCAGUAGAGAGGAUGCUUGAGGAUUUAAUUUCCGUGGAGAAAAAAGGAGUGGAAGCUGAUGAAGUAACCGAGCAAGUGCCGGUGCAAGAGAAUUUAGACCGAAAUAAUUCAUUUGAGGAAAUUUUCGACGGAAAUGAUCAUGAACCCGAGAACGAAAAUCUCAAAAAUAAACGGGACUUAUCGAAAAAACCCAUUCCUGAUCCAAUUGCAGAGACGAAGCAAAUACAAGUUGGAAGGAUACCGGGAGAUACAGUUCUUAAGGUGCUAAUGCAAAAGGUCCAGUCCCUUGAUGUGAACUUCUCCAUUUUGGAGCGGUACCUCGAGGAAUUGAACAGCAGAUAUGGGCAGAUCUUUAAAGACUUUGAUGAUGACAUCGACAAUAAAGAUUUGUUGUUGGAGAAAAUAAAAUUGGAGUUAAAGAAUCUUCAAACCAGUAAAGAGAAUUUUGUAUGUUAUAUCUCCUUUUCUUUUUUCAAUUUUGUUCUUUUUUCUGGUGAACUCAACUAUUAUCAUGCUCAUUUUGGGUUUCUUGUUUUCAGGCCAACGAGAUUGAAGUGCUCUUAGCAUGGAAACUAAUUGCUUCCUCUCAAUUGGACCAGCUGGUGAGAGAUAAUGCAAUACUCAGGUUCGACUUGUUCUUUAUUCUUGCGGUGGUGCAACUUAAAAUACUUACCUUCCUCAGAAUUAAUGUAGUCUUUUAUUAUAUCUUUAAACAUAGGGUGUAUUUAUGCUGCAUUUAAAAGUUUUUGUCGAUUUGAUAAUAUUACGCCAUUGGUGGAUGGCUGGAUGAUUUUUCAUGUAAAUCAUUGGAUCUUGUUUUGCAAAAUAAGAUCUAUAAAUAACAACUGCUGCAAACAUGCUUUUAGAUGUAUGGUUUUGAGGGAAUGCAUGAUUCUACGGUGGUAGCUUGUUCGAAACUUUCUGUGAGGAAAGGAGCUCUUUUUCCCUUCAACCUGCAAAGAGUACAUUGGUAAAAUUAGUAAAUUACGCUUCUUAUUUUCGCCUGUUAACAUCACAUAACACCUUAUUUUAAGAACCUAUUUUAAAGAGCUCCUAAUGCAAUAGUCUAGGACAUUAUGACAUUUGUCGAUCUAUUGAGAAAGUCGCUUUCUUUCUCUGGAAAACAAACUGCCACGCAAGGGACGGUUGCAUUCUUGUGUUCGAUAAAAAAGGGAGUUCUAAUAUUAGAAUAGAGAAGUUGAUAAGCACUGAAAAGACUCUUUGAUAGAGACAUUUUAUCUUACAUUAUAUGCAAGCCCUUAGGCUCCAUAGUAUCUUCUCAAACUGUUUGAUCCUUGUUUCUUCGUUCUAAAAGAUAACUCAAAACAAAUAUCGGACGAAGGUAGUAAACUUAUAUUUUUCGUGCUUGACUCACCAAUUGCAGAUGGGAAGUCGAAGAGGUUCGGGAUAAGCAGUUCGACAUGGAGAAGAGGAGUCUUGCUGUGAUAUUUCUUUGCUUUGUGUUCGGGUGUCUCGCGAUUACCAAAUUGUUUCUAGGAGUGUUGUUGAGCAUCUGUAGAUUAUAUGGUUCCGAAAAAUUUUGUAACACAAAUUAUGGUUGGCUCAUGUUGCUGCUUAGCAGUAGCAUUAUAGCUUUCAUCUUGGUAUUAUAAAAUCCGAUGUAUCGAUUAUCGUCUACUUGCCGCUGGACUCUGUUGUGGCAUGAAAUUUUGUUGUUGAGUUAUUUUUUUCUCAUUUUAUGCAGUCUCUGUGUUUGUCUCUUCACUUUCAUGGGCUUGUUUCGCCCUGCUUUUGCUUCUCCGCAUUUACUUUUCACAACCACAAUUUACAAAAAAGAGUGUUCGAGAAAACAGAAAGCAAAAUUAAGAUUUUGGAUCUCAAAAAACAAAAACUUUAAUGUGGAGCUUUUAAUUUUUUCGUAAGAAAAGUCAUUAAUGGUAAUUCAAUAUGGUAGUUAUCUUAAUCGUACUACACUCUACAGCAAAGGGUAUGUUUGGUUGCUCGAAAGUCGGCGAAGUUCAUAAAGUCACUUUUUCACAAAAGUGAGUUUUCAGUUGAUUGUUUGGUUGUUAUAAAAUAAAAGAAUUAAAACUAUAAUUUAUAAAUUUUUUAUUAUUAAAUUAUAUAUAAAGAGGUGAAAAUAUAAACAAACGAUUUAUACUUGCAAUUUAAAUUAAAAAUUUAAAUUUAAAUUUAAAUUAAUAUUUAGAAUUCAAAGUUAUAUUUUAAAAUUUAAAUUUAAAUCUAAAUCUGGAUAAUUAAAAUUUAAGACAUAAAUUUAAUUUACAAUUUAAAUUUAAAAUUUAAGUUAUAACUUAUAACUGAAAUUAAAUUUUAAAAUAAAAGUUCAACACAAAAAUUAGAAUUUAAAUUUACAAAUAAAAUUUAAAAUGUGAUCAUAAUAUUAAUUCAAAUUUAAAGCGAAAUUGAACUUUAAAAAUAAAUUUAAAUAUUAAAGUUAAGACCGAAUAUAUCCUCUUAAUUAAUUAAGUUCUCCGUUUUCGGUGACUUCCGAAUUUUUUGAGCCGAAGUCAAAAAAGUAAAAUUUAGUUAUAACUCACUUUAUCAGCCCACUUUCGUAAAGUAACUUUUAUGUUUACUUUCGUAAACCAAACAGCCGAUAAGACGUCACUUUCUAAAAGUACCACUUUCGAUGCUACACUUUCGGCGAAUCAAACAUGCCCAAAGCCAAACAUAUGAUAUUUGUAAAGCUAAAAUUACUUAUUAAAUGCGAAGUGAUUAACCUAUUCUUAGAUUAAUUUGGGGAAUAUUCUUGUUUGCUUUUUAAGUGGAAUAAAAGCAGGGAUGUACAAAAACUUUGAUUACACUCCAAAGAAACCAAAUGCUAUUGGGAGGCAAAAAAAAAGUACACAUAGCUGGAAAACAUGCUUUGAGUGUAUGGGUGAUUUGGACGUAAUGUAAAGGGAAAACUUCAAAAACCCCCUUUGUGGUUUCGUAGUUUCUCAUUUUGCCCUCCCUGUGGUUUAAAAUGUAUCAAUUUGGCAGCAUGUGGUUUCUUUUUUCUCUUUUUCAUAUCAAUUUCAUUAUUUUUUUUGCCUUAAAUCAGUGAUAAAGUUAAAAUUAAGGGGUACUAAAGUAAAUAUUUGAUAAAUCUAGAUGUGUAUUUGAAGUUUUUUGUAUAUAAUUUAAUGAAAUAUUAACGAAAAAGCUAUCGAAAAAAUAAAAACAAAACCACGGGGGAGCAAUUUGAUACAUUUUAAACCACAGGGGGGCAAAGUGAUAAACUGUGAAACCACAGGGGGGGGGUUUUUGAAGUUUUUCCCUAAUGUAAAAGGAUAGGAUCCUAGGUUAAAUAAAAUAAAAAAAGAAAUUAAUUAAAUCAAAAGAAAAAAAAAAAGAAAAAAAAAAGGUACUAACAAUGUGGGGUUUGCUGAGAAACCAAGUUAGCUUGUAACAUAUUAUGUGUAUUAGAAUAUUAUUGCUAAUAAUUAACAAAUUGAGCCUUUUCGUUUUCUUUUGUUUUUGUUUUUGUUUUUGUUUUUUUUUGUUGAAAAGAACCUUACUUUUUUGUGCUACGUAAUCAUGAUGAGUUUCGUUAAUAAGUUGCUAAAUAGAUGUAUACUUACAAAAAAAUGUUGCGUGUGACAAAAAUUAAGAAGCUAAAAAAACAUUGAACUUCGAACACGCAUCAAAAUUCCCACACACAAAUAUCAUACACAUGCAUAAAAAAUGUAUGGAGAUGCACUCAACUAUAGGCCAUUUUGAGCUUUCGAUUUUUCUGAAUUUGAAUUAUUCUAAUUACUUUAGUUGAAAACUCUGUAAUAAAUUUUUUUUUUCUAGUUUUAUUUACCAAAAAGUAAAUUAAAUCAUUACAUUUUAAUAAAUUAUCUAUGAAAUUCCAAAAGAUUAGAAGUUAAGUAUCUCUGGAUUAAAAAGUUUAAAAUUGGAAAAAUUAACAACCACUAAUACAUAAAUUUUCACUUACAUGCUUUAUUAUUUAGUCUUUAAUGUUCAAAAAUAAAAUCUAAUUUUUCUUUUAUUAUAUAACCACUUAAGUUCUCUAAUAAAUUAGCUCAUUUAGUUAAAUGUAGUUUAUAUAUAAUUAAAAAUGUCAUUUUCAGCUCUUUUUUUUUCAUUAGGAUUCAAAAUUAAGAUAUAAUAUGUUAAUAUUUAUUUUAAAAAAAUAUAGAAACCAAUAUUGGUGGAUAAUACUAGAACUAUUCAUACUUUUCAUAAAAAUAAUACCGUCAAUAAGCUGAACACGAGCGAGCUGGAGCUAGUUCGAGAUCGGCUCUGCAAUUAUUUGAGUCAGCUUGUGUUCAGCUCGAAAGUAAAAGGAGCAGAGGUAAUCGAGCUUGUUUUCGUCUUAAAAUUAAUUCGAGCUCGCCCAGAAUUAUUUCAAGCCAGCUUGAAUACAUUAAUACUAACUACAAUUAGUAUUACCUAUAAUUUCUUAUUUCUAAUUAAUGCUUCCUCUUGCUCAUUUAAUGUUAAAAGGAAAAACUUCAAAAACCCCCCUCUGUGGUUUCGUAGUUUCUCACUUUGCCCCCCUGUGGUUUAAAAUGUAUUAAUUUGCCCCCUGUGGUUUUAUUUUUCUCUUUUUCUUAUCAAUUUCAUUAUUUUUUUUCUUUAAAUCAGUAAUAAAGUUAAAAUUAAAGGGUACUAAAGUGAAUAUUUGAUAAAUCUAGAUGAGUAUCUGAAGUUUUUUGUAUAUAAUUUAACGAAAUAUUAACGAAAAAGCUACCGAAAAAAUAAAAACGAAACCACAUGGGGGCAACUUGAUACACUUUAAACCACAGAGGAGCAAAGUGAGAAACUACGAAACCACAUAGGGGUUUUUUGAAGUUUUCCCAUGUUAAAAUUUAGAAGAAGCCUUACUAACAAUAAACAAAAAUUUAAAAAUAGAAUUUAAAUAUGUUGUUUAUCAAUCUAAAAGUAACAUUUAUUGGUAUUAUUUAUUUAAUUUUUAAAUUAUAUCAAAUCAAAUAUAAGCGAGUUAUGAUCGGUCUGUAUGAUUCGGUUUAUAUAUUAAACGAGCGAAUCGAGUUCGAACGGAUUUUUAAUCAAACACGAGUUAAUUAAUUGACUCCCGAAAAGUUGAAAGGGCCACAUUGGAUCCACUUGCACAAGUUUGGAUGAUACUUAACGAGAUCAAAUUGAUGAUCCAACACGAUCGAAAUACCCACGCAAUAUGUUAUAUGCUUCAUUGGAUGCUUUUUAUUAUUAUAGAGGAUAAUAAUAUAAUAUAGGACAACACAAAACUAAAGAUGCCCGUAGACCGGGUCGGGUCUGGUUAAUUAAUAUACUGUACCCAUACCCUAAAAAGAAAUUGUUAGAAAAAAAUAUAUAUACCCUACCCAUUUAAGUUCGGGUCGGGUCCGGGUCUGAGUACUAAAGUUACUAAUAUACCCAUCGGGUCUAUUUGAGCGGGUCUGGGUAGUGACUACCCGUAUACUAUCCGUUCAAGACCGGAUAUGGUUCGGGUCUAGACCGGAUACGGAUAUCCGUAUGAGUAUAUUUUUUUUAUAAACUUUAUUAAAUAGUCUAUGAACAAACUAUAAAACCCGCCAUAAAAAAACUAGCAUUCUAUUAAGUUGUACCUUCCAAUAAAAUUCAUUUAAAAGAAAAAAAGGGUAGAAAACAAAGAGUAAAAAAAUUAGGAAAAAGUAAUGAGUAAAAGAGACGGCUAGGAUUUCAUUAGGAUGAAAAUACAUAGUGACUCAUCAUUUAUAAGUCAUAUUAAAAUUGAUCCUUCAACUUCAAAAUUUUAUUUUUUUUUAUUUACUAUCGGAUAUUUCAUCGGGUCCGGGUUUGGAUCCGGAUUUGAAAACUAUUCCGGACCCUACCCAUUUAAAAGUUGGGUUCGGAUCGGAUCCAAAUCGGGUAUGGGUAUAAAAUAUCCGGACCCAUACCCGAAACUUUAAUGAGUAGUUUUUUUUAUCCGUAUAUUAUUCAUUUUUUAUCGGAUCCGGUUUGGGUCCGAUUCUGGUCCGGAUAGGGUCCGGAUCGUGUAUGAGAUAUUGGAUAAUUUGGAUACCUUUACACAAAACUGAAUGAUAACAAAUAUUAUUGAAAAUGAGCACCCAGUAGGAAAUAGCCAUGUGGCACUGAUUUGACAGAGAUUUAAUUAUAAAAAUUAAUAAAAUUAGAUGUUGCCACGUGGGCCGGGCGACGUGGCGUUUGGCACGGCGACAUUAGCGGGAGCACUGGGUGAGGCAACGUGGGCGAGAACAACGGUCGCGGCAUCAUGAACGGUAAAAUGCACGGAAACCCCCUCAACUAUAUUGGAUUGUUAAGUAGCUUCCUCCAUUUUUUUUGGUUGCAGACCAUGUUAAUUUUUAAUUUUUAUUCUUUUGUGUUUAAAUACUGACCCAAGCAAGUUAUAAUUUAUUCAAAAAAAUUUAAAUAUUUAUGUAUUAAAAAAAUUUAAGUUAUAAUUUUAUAUUAGUUUUACAUUAAGUAGUUGAAAAAUAUCAAAAGUAUAUCUAAAGUUAUAAGUUACAUUAAUUAGAAAUAGUAAUAAAAAUUAGAUGUCUUUAAUAUAUAUGAGUCCAUCAAAUAUUGCAGAUUAAAUUUUGGAAUAUAAAUUUUAAUUUAGAACUUAAUUUUAAAAUUCUAAUUUAACUUCACUCAUUCUCUAAAAAUAUUAAAUAACUUCACUCAUUCUAUUCCAUAUUGAUAAUUUUUUAAAUAUUUGUAAAAAUUAAUUUAAUUUUAAAAAAUAAAAAGUUUAGAGGCUUAAAAUUUAUAUAUAUAAUAUUGGAACAUAAUAAGCUAUAUAUAUAUAUAUUGGAACAUUUGCAUUUUGAUUAAAAAUUCCAUGUGGAACUCAAAAGAAGCAUCCACGUAAAUUCAACUGAGUCAUCAGAUCCUUUAUACACAUUUGUAUCCAACUUUAAUUCAACUUACUAUACGUGUACACACUCAUGCCCUCUUCUUAAUUAUUUAUAAUGUUUUUUUUUUAAUAAAAAUUUUAUUUGUUUCCAACACGGCAUGUGAGACACCUGUUCCCCUCUUAAAAAAUAAAAUAAAAUAAAAUAAAAUAAACACUUAUAAUAAACCCAAGGUUAUUUAUUUAUUUCUAUUUAUUUACAUUGAUUAAAUCAAAAAUUUUGAAAGGUUACGAAACCCAUUAAUUAUGUGUCUUGUUAUUUAUAUAUUAUUAUUAUUAUUUUUACUAUAAUUUUAAUUACUUAUAGCCUAUAAUAUUCCAACAGGUUUUCUCCUUGUGGAUGUUUGAAAAAAAAAAAAGAAAAAAUACUGAGUCAUAACACUCUAGAAAAAGAUCAAAAUAUAGUAAUUAAUAUAAUAAUUAUACCUAUCACUAGGUUAAUUAUCAUGUUAUAAUAAUAUUUUCUUGCGAAGUUCCUUUUUUUGAUUUUUUUUUUCUUUUUUGGAUUAGGAAUGUCGGUUUGUUUGAAUAUUCGAAAUUUUAUCCGAACUCUCAACUCAGCCGGAUUUGACGAACAUGAUUUUGAAUAUGAGCGUAAAAAAAAUCAACCGUUUCGAGUAUGAAUAUGAACCUUAAGGUGCUUAACCCUAAUUUCGGCUAUUAUAUGAUAGAAAAGUUUUAUAUUGUAUUUAAACUUGUACUUUAAGAAAAUUGGUUAAAAAAUGAUUGUUUUUGUGUUCAAAAUUUUGGAUUCAAUUUGAUUAUGGAUUAUCAAACUUUAACAGUUUUAGGUUCAAAUUUGAAUUUCUGUUUUUCACAAACGGGUUUGGAUUUGAAUUUGAAAUUUUUAAAAAAUUCAACCGAAAAUCGACCGUUGACAGUCCCUGCUUGUUGGAGUCACGUAAACUCCUUUGAUUGUACGAAUAAUCCAAGAGAAUCCAAAAAGUCAAUGCAAAUAUUUUUUAAUUUUUUGUAUUUGAGACUUUCGCCUCUGCCGACGGAACGUUUCUAUUUAGCACAGUUAGCUAAAAAUUUACUGAUAAAUAUUCAAAAUUUGAAAUUAAAAAUUUAAUCAUUCCAUAUUCUUUAACUAAGUUUAUUUUUUUUAAAAAAAAUAAAGUGAAAUAGUAUGCUCUUUUUAAAAAUCAAAUCAGUCAGAAUACAAAUCGCGAGUUUGACCAAGUGAAUGCUUUGAUCACACUAAAUCCGUUUACUGUAAUAAUUUUAUCUACAGACUUAUUUAUCUCUCACUAUGUUGCAAACUAGAAUUGUCAAAUGAGUUGGAGUUGUUUUGCUCGAUCGGAGCUUCUACAAAAAAAAAAAAAAAAAAAAAAGAAAAAAAAAAAGAAGCCACAUUGAUUUUAUUGAAAUAUCUGUUGAUAAUUUUAAGCUACAAUCAAUGGUUUCUGGCUUUUUUUUUUUUUUGAUAUAAUUCACAAAAAAAUUGUAAUCAUCAAGUAGGUGAGCUUUCCAUUAAAUCCAUAUUUUAUUAGGCCUCUAAUUUAGACAACUAAGGGAAAAGGACAAAAGUUAGCUGUGAGUAGCUUAGUCUCUAAGCAUGACCAAUCCCCACCUAUGCACCUACAAUUAGGAAGAGAGAAAAAGAAAGUAAGAGAGAGAGAGAGAGAGCAAAAUUUGGUCUUAGUUUUUUGGCCAAUUUGCAUAAAAAAUUCACUUAUUUUGGGCUUUUGCAAAAUCGUGCCACCUUUUUUAUUUUUGCAGAUUCGGUCCGCUUUUUCAGCAAACUGACCAAAAUACUCUUAUUACUUUUUCUCUUUCCUCUUUCUCUCUCUUCUUCAUUUCUCUCGUUCUUUUUUUUUUUUCUCGCCGGCAGAGCGGAGGCGGAAACGGUCCGUCUCGCCUCUCACCCUCAUGCUCUCGCCCUCGCCCUUACCCUCGUCCAUGCACCCUCCAUCUUCCUCGCCUCCGACCGCGCCAAGGCCGCACCGCGACUUUUUUUUUUUUUGCUUUUUUCUUUUCUUUUCUUCUCCGACUCUUCUCCACCGUCUCCGACGACGACGCUUUUCGCCCUUCCCCCCUUCUCAUCUCUCCCUCUCCCUCAUUUUCUGCCGCCUCUGACGACGAUUUAUCUUUGCCGGCGCCGACGUCGACACCGUAGAGGUCAUCGCGGCGCUACAGCCUCGGAGCGGAGGGUCCUUAACGGCGUAUUUCAGCCGGCGCGGCGUAGGCUGUUGGAUGAGAGGUGACGCAAAAAAUUAUAAUUAGAAAAACAGAAAAAAAAUAGAUAUAAAGUUGAUAAAAAGAAUGUGAAGUAUUGAUUUUAUUACAAAAUUUAAGUUGACUAUUAAGAAUGUAAUGGAGAAUAUUACCUAUUUGACGAAUUAUAUUUUUUUAUCUAAUGAUAUGUUGUAAUACAUGUUUUCUUUUUGUUGUCAUGUUUCUCCUUUGUUGCACUGUUUCUCGUUUAUAUUCAAAGAAAUGGCUGCAGAGAGGAGAGAAAGAAUGUUUAUAAUUCUCUUAAAGGUGAUGUUUCUCCUUUAUUGCGAUUGUUUUUUUUUGUUGCAUUUUUCUAUUGUUUAACAGAAGGGUGAACAAGAGGAGAACGGUGCAAGGAGAACAAUUAGAUUAUAUUCUUAAAACAGGAGUUUUCUCUCUUGUUGAACUAUUUCUUCUUUGUUUCACAAAAUGGUCCAAACAAGAGCGGGAAAAAGUAAUAUCAUUCUUUUAAAACCAGGUGCAGUUUUUCUUGUUGCCAUGUUUUUCCUCUUGGUUGCACUAAGAAAUGGCUGCAAAGAGAAGAACCGUUGUUCAACAAGGGAGAUAAGUAUAAAUAUCUAUUAAAAGGGUGCAAGUUAAGAAAAAAUAGUUGUAACAAGAGAAGAGAAUGGUGCACAGAGGAGAAAGUGAAUCUUUGUUUAAGGGUGUAAUUUCAUCUGUAAUGAAUAGUUUGAUCUGAAGGUGUAUAAGAGGAACGUGUAAAACAUUUCAAGAGUGUCAUUUUAUUUAAAGAUAUAUUUAUUUUAAGCUAGUUUAACAUUUUAAGUAGCAAAUUAUAAUUAUUUUUUGCAUUUACGAUGAGUUUAUGUUAUUCAUUCUUUAUAUAAUUUUUUAUCUUUAUUUUUUUCUUUUUUUCUAUAAAUUUUUUUAAUUUCAAAUCUUCACAAGCACCUGGUAGCCGGACGACGCGCUUAAGGAGACCCUGCUCCGGUUGUAGCGCAGCGCAAUCGUGACCUCACGGCUGUCGAGUCGGCGCACGGCGAAGAUGUAGUCGUCUGACAGGCGCGAGAAUGAGGAUGAGGGGAGAGAUGAGGAAGGGAGGCAGGCGAGUGAGGUCCGUGUCGGAGACGGUGGAGAGAGUCGAGAGAAGAAGAAAGGAAAAAGAAAAAAAAAAGUCGCGGCGCGGCCUUUGCGGGGUUGGAGGCGAGGAAGGUGGGGGGUGCGUGAACGAGUGCAAGGGCGAGGGCGAGAGAAUGAGGGUGAGAGGCGAGACGGACCGUUUCCGCCUUCGCUCUGCCGGCGAGAAAAAAAAAAGAACGAGAGAAAGGAAGAGGAGAGAGAAAGAGGAAAGAGAAAAAGUAAAAAGGGUAUUUUGGUCAGUUUGCUGAAAAAGCGGACCAAAUCUGCAAAAAUGAAAAAGGUGGCCCGGUUUUGCAAAAGCACAAAAUAAGUGAAUUUUUUAUGCAAAUUGGCCUAGUUUUUUUAAAGGAAUAAUAUCUAAUAUAUUCUCUAAAAUUUUACAAAUAUUUAAUGUAUUUUGAUUGAACAAAAUGCUCUUUGAAAUUUUAAAUUUUUUUUUGAAUUUUUUUUUUUUUUGAGAGAGAGAUAGGUAGCACGCUACCCGUUUCGUUUAUUUCAUUUAGAAAUCAACUAGAAUUCGAACUUGGGUCUCGGAUACUAACUAUCAAGUGCUUUGCCACUUGCUUUAGGAAUGGUCAGUAUUUUUUGAAAUAUUUCAAAAGAGAGAUCACUAAUGGAAUUGACUUUUAGAAAAAUAUUUUGAGCAUAAAAGAAUACAUUUAAAAAUUUUAAAUGAAGUCGGGAAUAAAAGGGCCGGAAAAUUUUAAAUUUGAAUGAUUCACCGCGUUUUGAAAAAAAAUUCUACGUGGCGAAGAGAGGAUUAGUUUGCCAAAUAUAAAUUUGGCAGUGUUAUUUCAUAAAUUACAAAAUUUUAAAAAGUUAUUUUGUAAAAUAAUUUUCAUUUUUUUACUACAGUAGAAGGUCAUCAUCGUAAAAAGAAAAGAAAAAAAAAAUUUGACAACAUCAAUUCUCUCUCUUUCUCACAAUCUCUCUCUAUUUUUUUUUUUGUUUUUUAAUUGUUGGUUAUACGGGGGGCUGUUUGAUUCUAACUAUUUUUUCAAAAAAGAAAAUUAAAAACAUUAUUUUUCUAAAUUUUUAUUUUCCAGUUUUUUAAAAAAACCUGAAAAACACAAACACUCUUUUUUUGUUUAUCAGAUCUGAAAAAAAAAGUUUUUCAAAAAAAAAAGAGGCUAAAUUAGAUAAAAUUCUCCGUCAAAAUUCUAUUUUUUACUUUCCCCUUCUGUCAUUUAAAAAUCUAUAUUUUGCCCCCCUUAUAAAAUAAAAAAUAUUCACAGGGGGUACGGUGUGUAAAAUAACUAUUUUGCUCCUCAUCAUUUUCGUCUCCUCCCUCAUGCAUCUUUCUCAACAGCAGCCUCCAUUUUCUUCUUCACCUGCUACCCUCUCCUCCUGCAUCCUCGCCGCCCCUCAAUUUCGGCGACAGUAGGAUAGAAAUCGAGAUGGGGGUGGAUGGGAAGACGAAGGCGAAGUGGCGGAGGAGAGCGAAGGGGUGUUUGUAGGCGCGGACGGAAAUGUGGGCGAGGGCGAGGCAGUGGAGGAGUGCGAGGUGGCGAGGCAGCGAAGCAACAGAAAAAAAAGGGGGAGGAAUAUUUUUGGUAUAAAAAAUAUUUUAUAACGGAACCCUAACGGAUCACGAUAGGGAGUAAAGUGCACAUUUUUUAUUUUACAACGAGGCAAAGUAUAGGUUUUUAAAUGACAGAGGAGAAAAGUGAAAAAUCACGUUUUGACAGAGAAUUUUCUGUAAUUUAGCCAAAAAUUAAAGUGUAAUAGUUAAAAUAUUCUUGAGAGAGAUUCAAAACUUAAUGGGAAAACUUCAAAAACCCCUCCUGUGGUUUCAUGCAUUCUCACUUUCAUACCCUGUGAUUUAAAACGUAUCAAUUUGCCCCCCCUGUGGUUUCAUUUUUCUCUUUUUGUUAUCAAUUUUAUUAUUUUUUUUUCUUAAAUCAGUGACAAAAUUAAAAUUAAAGAAUACUAAAGUGAAUAUUCGAUAAACAUAGAUGGUUAUCUGAAGUUUUUUGUAUAUAAUUUAACGAAAUAUUAACGAAAAAGCUUCUGAAAAGAUAAAAACGAAACCACAUGGGGGCAAAUUGAUACGUUUUAAAUCACAUGGUACUAAAGUGAGAAUGCAUGAAACCACGGGGGGGUUUUUGAAGUUUUCCCAAACUUAAUUUGUGUUCCGCAACUAAAACGCGGCACAAAAAGCACAAAAGCAGGUCCAGGGAAAGGAGUCGCACGGAAACCGGCACCGAAUCAUAAGAAAGUGCCGAAUUUCGUUUUUUUUUUUUUUUUUUUNUAUAGAAAAAAAAAAAAAAAAAAAAACAAAAGGGUGGUGUUUUGCGUGGAAGCAAUAGAGCCCUUGAUUUGCGAAGCUCAUCACUUCACAAUCCCCGUACACCCUCCCUCUCUCUCUCUCUCUCUCUCUCUCAAGAUAUAUAUAUAUAGAGAGAUGCUCCUCAUCUUUCUCCUCACUUAUUCGAAAAGGUAGUAUUGUUAGAAAAGACGUAGAAAUUUCAACAAACGCAGAAAAAAAAGCAGAACCAAACAGCAAAAGUAGUCUCUUUUUUUAAGACUCUUUUCCUUAAAUUCCUCCUCACCUUUUUUUUUGGGUUCUUUUUAGGCCUUGGCAUUGUUUAUAUAUAUAUUGCAUUGCCUCGCACGCUCUUCUUCUUCUUCUUCUUCUUCUUCAAGCCAUAUUCUUAUCUUUCAUUAUUAGAACUCUGGGAUGGAGGGUGCAAGUCAUAUCGGCGAUGAUAUGUUGGCGGAGAUCCUCGCGAAGCUGCCGUUGAAGCCGCUGUUCCGGUUCAAAUGCGUGUCCAAGUCGUGGCGCGGCCUCAUCUCCGAAAACCACCUCCGGCGGCGGCUCCCCCUCCUCACCUCUGGGGUGUUCUACUGCUCCGGCCCCGGCCCCCACAACGGGCCGAGGUAGCAAUUUAAUCUUUUUCUUUAAAAACUUAAGCCGUCAGACUACAGUGUUUAUAUAUAAAAACGUCAAGUUUUUUUAAUGAAAAUUCGCCGGAGCAUGAUGUUUUUAAUAUUUUAUAUUCAAUAGGUACGCAUUUGCUUCCGAUGACGGAGGGCUUGAGGAGUGCGACCUCGAUUUCUUCCCUUUCCUUCGCAGUUCGACAUUGGUCGACAGCUGCAACGGCCUCCUCCUCUUCUACGCGGCCCACCCGGCGGCGUUCUACGUCGCGAAUCCGAUCACGAGGCGGUGGAGGGCCCUCCCCCGGCCCCAGGGCAGGACCCGGCUCUCGAUCCUCGCCUUCGACCCCUCCGCGUCUCCGGACUACAAGGUCAUAUGCUUCACCGGGUGGCGGCCCCGCGGCGCGGACAUCGAGACGUUCUCCUCGGAGACCGGGGAGUGGGCCCCCGGCGAGCUGAAUUGGCCGGGGGUCGAGACCGACGCGAUGUUGGCCACCAUGCACUGCUUCGGCGGCGCGCUCUACAUUCUCGCGCAUUCGGGCUGCGUCAUCCCCGUCGACCUCGCCACGAUGGAGUGCCGCGCCGCAAUCGGCCUCCCCGAGCCGAUGAGCCCCGACGGGCGCCUCGGCAACCGCGGCGGGAGCUUGUACUACUCGCACACCAGUGAUCAUGACCAUGAGCUCAAAAUUUGGACGUUGGGGCAAAAUUGCACCUGGGUGAUGAGGUGCAGUGUGAGUGUGAGUGAGCUUGGGUUAGGGUUAGACUCGGACCGGGCCCAAGUGUUGGCUUUUGACCCGGAGAGGGGGGUGGUGUACAUGUGGGUGGGUGGGAAAUUGGUGGGGUUUGAUUAUGAGAGGAGGGGGGUUUUCAAAGAGUGGGAGUUUGAAAAAGAGAGGGAAAGGGAGAGGCCUCAUCUCAUUCAAAUUUGGGUGUUCCCUUUCUCAAACUACCUCUCAAAUUGCUUAAGUUGAUGGGGAUUGGAGAGUUGGAAAUGAAAAUGAUAUCAUGUUUAUCUACUGUGAAUGGAAUUUUUUUUUAAUCAACUAUAUAUUUUGGCCGCAGAAUCCUACGCAUUAAACCUUCAAUAAUACCUAUACUAUAUGAUGCAAAAAGUUGGGCGGUCGAAUCCCACAUAUAAAAUGCACAUGCAGAGAACGAACCUCUGAUCUUAUAGACAACAUUUUGAGUAAUAAUCAUUCAGUUUAAACAAUUUAGUAACACCCAAUUAAUAAUAACACUUAGGAUUAUUUUUUUUCCAGAAAUAAAAGAAAAUAGAGAGAGAGAACAAAAAACACCCAACUAAUAAUAACAAUAAAAAAAAAGGCAUGCUACACCAAGAAAUUGAAUCUGUUUUAAAAAAAAAUCUAUCUGAAGAACCAAAUAGCAUAAUGCAGUAAAAUGAGACAAAACGAAGAUCAGACACAUUUUCACUCGAGAAAAAAAGAAAUAUAUUCAGAGAGUAAAUUAAAGAUGUAAAUGUAACAUUUAUUUAUUAUCUUCUGGGAAUAAUUAUUGAAGGAAUGUCAAAAUAGACACCACUUAUAAUGAGAGUGAGGAGUGUUGAUUAAUGCAGUAAAUUGUACCUAUUUAUGUAACAAAUGAAUCGGUUUCGAGAUCAGAUCUCGCCUAAUGGCGCUUGCAAUGAGGGAAGAGUCCGAGGAUGUGCUCCGGCAUGAAGUCGUGCCGUGUUAGGAUCCCUACGAUCGGAGGCCUCUGCGAACACACAAGUUGUUGUAUUAGGAAGUGUUUGUAUGAUAAGAAAACGCCGAUGCAGAUAAUGUACUUUCCACGAAAAUGCUCGAAAAGCUGAAGAAAAUCAGGUUUUCUACAGAGCAGGAAGAAGCAACUGAUAAAUGAUGCAAAGCAUUUUCUCUAAGACCUGUGACAACAUGAAGAAAUAAUUGUUGGGUAGCUGAUCCGAAAGCACAUUUGUAGGAGCCAUCGCUACUUUUUUCAGUUGUAUACACAAGGAAACAUGGAACAAAAGAUCAUCUAAAAGUUGAAUUCAAUUGUCGAAAAACUGAAUGAACAGGAAAGAGCUCAUAUUAUAUAUAGCUAAAGAGUUUUUUUUUUACUCAAUUCUAUCGGAGAACCGCACCUAGACACAUAAAAUAAGCUUAAUCUAAGAUAACAAACUACAGUGUAACUUAAUUGCUAUAUCAAUUACCGGUGCAAGCGUAACGAGUUCCCUAAGUUGCAUAUAUAAGUGAAUGAUAAAAUCAGAGAAGAGAAUUCUUACCCCUGGGGUCUUAGGCACAACACACAGGUGUCUAAGCCCGAGCUCCCUGAAAAGAACUGCUGCCUUCGCUAAAGACAUCGUCUCCACUACUGAAUAUGGCGAUCUAUUAGUAAUUGGAUGGAGAUCGACAUACAUUUCUGUCUCCUCCUCGCUUAUAUCCAAGUCUUCAAACUUUAAGCCCUUCCCCAACCCCGCUUUCGCAAAAUCAAAGGGACCAAACCUGCGGAAAACCUCCGACGCCCCAGUCAAUACCCUAUCUUUCGUAAAUCUCUUUCCUUUGAGCACGACAAGCAAAUGUGACCUCAACACAAGCCCGCACAGCUCGGGCGCUGCUGAGAAAGGCGGCUCAUUUAUUACUGGAAAGCCGUUAUGGCCCGUCAACGUUAAAGCCUGCACUAUGGUUCCCACCUUUUCCACGCUGGAGAAGGUAAUGAGCGGGCCUGACACGACGUCCCUUGCGACCAAGUUUCUCAUGUAUGGCUCGGCAUGGGCUUCCAAAUAGGGCAAGCCCUUCAUCUUGACGAUCUGGUCAUAUACACCUUUGUUGAAGCUAUCAGCUACAGAUUUUGAUAUGAGGAGGACGAGCAUCACGAGGGGAAGCAUUAAAAGAUCAUUGGUAAGUUCAAGGAGUAUUACACAAACCGAGACCGUCAUUCUCAUAGUCCCGCCGAGGAAAGAAGCGGCCCCAAGAACGGCGAAAAGGCCCUUAUCCAAGCUUGAAAUAGGGCCGAGGAGUGUGCCGACAAGGCGGCCGAAGGAAGAACCGGCCAGUAUGACGGGGAUGAAGAGACCAGAAGGGACAGCUAUACCGUAAGUCACGAGGCCUAGUGCAUAGACAGCGAAAAAGAAGAUGAAGAGGGUGGAGAUAUAGAACUCGCUUUCAGUGCCGCCACUGAAGAGGUUACGAAUGGCGUCGUCAUUGGUGUUGAGGAAAAGGGAGGCAAGGUCGUUGUAGUGGCCCGGGGGGCACUGAAAGCUCUUGAAGUUGCCCGAUCGGCCAAUGGUGGGGCACUGGUGGCCUAGGUCGGGGGGGCAUGGCGUGCACUUGGCGAGCCAAGGGAGGCCGAAGGAGCAGCAAGAGGUCAAGAGAGAGAUGGUGACCGUUAGUAGGAUCUUGAACGGAGCGCCUCUUCUGCAAUCGAUACUAAAUUGUCAGGCACCAAAAAGUAAUAGAGAUAUUACAUAUAUAUUCUUGCAAAAUUGCCUAUUAACAUAAUCAUCUCCAAGAAAUCUUAUACAUCCAUUUAGUGUCAGAAAAACCCCUCGACAACAAGAAAUUUCUAAUAGCAAAUAAAAUUACACACAUGAAUCGAAUAAUUCGCCAACAUAAUUUGUACAAAAAUACAUUUUUGAAGAGAUAGGUGUAUAGAAAUCCAGAUUUAUAGAGGUUUAUAUGUAAUAGUUUGAAAACAAAGAGUAUUAAGUUGACGAAAGCUGUUGCCCCAUAAGGCCUCAACCUGCUCAUUUUAGGACAAAAACAAACAUAAUAUGGAUUAAUAGAGGCGACAUACUCAUUGAUGAAGCUAUAAUAGCGAAGGAUCUUAUCCAGCAGAAAGUUGUACAGGGCUCCAAGGAGUCCACCGAGGACGCCAAGCAAAAUAACGGCUAUCAGAUCUGGCGUGCUAUAUGUGGUAACACUUGAACUGACAUCAAACAUUAUUAAUCCUCCUUUGCCGAAGAGACCGCACUUUCCGCUUCUGCAGUAUUCUAUGAGAGCUCUUAACACAACAGCAACCACAGCUGUCGUGAAAAAUGUCCUCCAAAGAAGAGCACUUCUCCACCUGAGAAUUGCAAGAGGACAUAGUACUUAAAAAUUACUAAUUAGUGGAUUUCAAAAAUUCGAUGAGUAGAUGUCAGUAUAACUUCCAUACAUUAUGGAAUAUUAAACGUUUUCACAAGUAAUUUUCAUAUAUUAAGGAUUUGAACAUUAAAAAAAAGGUCCAUUGAUUUUAUCAGGUAGUUCUUCAGCAUAAUAGAGGUGAAAAGGAUAGCAAGAAGUAAGGAAGAUACCAGGAUGCUGCUUCUUCGAGUGCAAAGAGAACCCCGCCAACUGGGGCGCGAAAGGCAGCUGCAACACCUGCUGCAGCUCCGCAAGUGAUCAUAUCUCGCCGAUCUCUGUCAUUCUUGAAGUACCUGAGCCACGUACAUGUCAAUCGAUACUUGUGGGACCCCCCUUGUCCCAGUAGAUUGGCAAUGCAUGCUCCUGUAUGCACCAUAGGGCCCUCCUUUCCCAAUACAAAUCCGGCAGAAACUCCCCCUAUAGAACCAAAUAUCUGCAGGUUGGCACGAAAACCUUCACUAGAUUAGUCCUGCAGCCUCAAAUGGUACAAAAAUAGAACAAAAGACACAGAAUUAUGAAUUACUAGUUUGAAAUGUUUUUGUUUUCCUUCUCAAGAAAGAGUACUUGAAAUGUCCUCGAGAUGAAAGAAGGUGCAUAGAAAAGACUAAUUCUUUGAAACAACAAUGAGACUCUGAAGUCAACUAUUGCUACUAUGGGUGGCAGAAUCCAAUAACACCCAUAAUGGUAGCUCUUCAGCAUGUUGUGGAAUUUUCAUUCUGGGUUUCCCUUCAGAUAGUGAAAUGCAUGGACGAUCCCUAUACAAUGCUGAUAUUGGGACUUAUACCUCAACUUUUAACUCAACACUUUUGCCCCUGAACAUUUUCAUAUAUUGCAAUUACAUCCAUGACCGCUAUAAAAAAAAAACAACUUUUCCCUAUAAACUGACCUUUUUAAACAUACUUCAAGAUCACAAAAAUGGAGAAGUCAUUUUAUGAAAGUUACAGGAAAGACCUGAUUUUUUUCUUCAUUUAGUCAGGGAUAAUAUUGCAAUAUAAAGAAAAUUAAGGGAAUUAUUUAAACCAUGCAUCUGGCUCUAAGCUAUCAGAUUGCAUUCAAACUUGAAUCUGGUGAGACACGAGAUGAAAUAUGUCAAACAAGAAUUUGAGGUUUGGAUAACCUUCACAAAGAGGGUGCUAGGUGCCAAUAUAGAGUAUGCAUCGACUCCAUUAAGAUAAGCUUUAACUUCAGGUAUCCCUGACCCAGCUGCUGCAGGGGCGACAUAAGCACAUAGUGCUGCUGCUGCUGCUGCCAAAAUUAAGUUGCACCCAGCAUAUACAGCAAAUGCUUCCUGAUAUCUGCACUGAAACCACACAGUAAUUACAUGGACACAUCCUACAGGGGUAAUUAUUAGAAAAUCACGAUGCGCACAAUUUUUUUUACUGCUUUGCUCAGAUCACAAAAUUGCAGAACUUACGAAUGCAAAGAAGUCUUCAUCUAGUGGUUUAAGUUUUCUAAAUAACCCAUUGCCAUUUUGUUUGCAAAUGUUUCAGAAAUGAAUAGAGAGCACACCAUCUUUCUUAAAAUAACUAUGGCAAAUAUGUAUGUAUGGAAACAACCAAAGAGCAAAAUGGUAAAACCGUCAAAAGAAAUAGAACAAAAUGAAAAAUUCAACAACACCCAUAAUGAAGUGCAUAUUAGUGGGCUAUAUGAUGUCACUUUGUGGAGAGGAAGUGAGGUCGAAACUUACUUAUCCUUCAGCAUUAGAUUACUUGUUAACAACAACUUAAAUCCAGCAAUGUUUUCAACUGCAAUGUUGUUGAAGAAGCCAACUAAUCCAGUAGCCAAUCCUAUAAGGAGUGCAAGCGUCCACUUGAGGAUUAUGUAUUGAAAUAUCUGAACUUUUUUUCUUGAUCUCCAGUCCUCUUUAUAAAGAUCAUUCUCAACAAUCCUGAAAGGUAAGUGUAAGUUCAGAUUAAGGAGGUCAUAAGACGUCAGAAGAUUUUAAUACUGCUGAAAAAUGCCAUAUGUAUAUCAAGCAACAAAGGUAGGAAAUCUUGAGCAAACUCACAAAUUUCAACCUAAUUCAGAACUCACGAAGCUAACAAAGGUAUGGAUAGUUUGAAACUUUAAACAAUUGAGCAGGAAAAAGUAUACAACUAAAUAUGCUACAUGAGUAACAAAUUUAGAGAAUAAAUACACCAAUAUCAUUAUCUAGCUAGAUAGUGACACAGAAAUCUACAUACACCCGUUACAAAAUCAGACACGUUAAUAAUAAUGUAUUUAUUGGACCACAUCCUAGCAAGUUGACAGAAGAAUAGAGCUUUUCUGCUAGAAAUAAUCUAAUAAUAUAAUAGUUAUUUUUAGAGCAAAAUGAUUCUUUGUCUAUUAAUCUAUAAAUUACAAAUUAUACGUUAAAGCCAGAAACAGCUGACUAGAAAAGAUAGCUAUCUAAUACUUUAGCUUUAUUCUCUCCAACACAAAAAAAGAAGAGAAUACUUUAGCUUUAUCCUUUUCUGAGUAACUAGAUUUUUUCUUGAGUAGCCUAUCCUUUUGGUUUAGCAAAUAAUGGGAAUAAAAUUUAAGAAGACAUUUUCAAGUCUAAUUUUAAUUAACUCUGAUGGAACUCAAUAGUCAAAACAGGACACAAGAAUAAAAGUUUAAAAUAAUGUUCAGAAACAAUGGAUGGAGAAAUAUGUGCUGGUGCACUGCUAUCUCAUUGUCCUUUGUAGCUAGGAUAUAUUAUAUAAUAGAUGUGUUUGUUUAUUUCAUAUGGUUACUUAUGUUCUCUGAUAAUUAAAACAGAUAAAAAUUUAAAGAAUAGCAAAGACGAGUAUAAUUGUGGAAACUGAAAUUUUUGCACCAAUAUGAGAAACCAUAGCAAUCUUUAGUGAUUCGACAACAGCACAAAUGUAGAUAGAAAAAGCUGAAAUUUUGUGGCAUAAUAUAUUGCCUGGAAAAGCAUAACAAUCUCAUUCCCUUCAACAAAGAAACAAUGCGUGAACCAAGCUUCAGUAUCAUGCCGAAUACGCAUGAUCUUAAGGUAGUGUGUGUACAAAACCUUGAACAUUAUAAACAAAAUUACAAACCAGGAUUCAUAUUUCUAUGCAACAUAGGACUAAAAGUAAAAAAACUGUAUCAAAAACUCCCUCAAAUAUAGGCCAGUUCAAAACAGAUCCCUAAACUUUAUUUUUCCUAUUGACACACUCUAAACUUUUGUUUGUUUUAAUUUGAAUAAUUUUUAAAAGAUAACUUAGGGAUUUCAGAAAAAAAAAUUAGCAUUUUUAGCUGACGAAGCCGCAGAUUUCGAUAACAGUCGACACCCAACAACAAUGAGACCACGGAUUUUAACAGAAGCCCAAAUAUCAACAAACUUCGCUCAAAAUGAGAGAAAGUUGAGGAGGUGCCGAUCCAAAAAUUUUUUUGAUUUUUGGAUCUUAAUUCAAAAUUGUGAAUAGUUGAGGGGGUGGUUCUCCAUAUAUUUUUCAAUCCAAAUGGCAUCUAAACAACCUAAUAACGAUCAUAAUAGAAACGAUAGUGCAUUAAAAAAAAUUUAAAAAAAAAAACAGAGGCAAAAAUGGGAAACUGGGGGGUAUUGAUCCCGACUCAUAAUCCAAGCUCUCGAUGGGGCAAAUGUUGGAUCCAACAAUGGCGAUCUGCGAGGUGGUGUUGAGGGUUCUCCGCCGCAGCAGCGGCUCCCUCAACGCCGCCUCCUCCUCCGCCGCCGCCGCCGCGUCGCCAUCGAAGCUCGACCCUCCCCUCUCCAUCGUCGCCACCUCUUCGNCUCCUCUCCCUCUCCCUCUCCCUCUCUCUCUCUCUCUCUCUCUUUCUCUCUCUCUCUAUAUAUAUAUAUAUGGAGGGGAUUGGUUUAUAAAGGAUGGGAGGGGACUUCGCCCGCGCGAUGCUUGUUCGUAUUAAUAUUAAUAUAUAAAAAAUACCUAAAAAUAGAAAGGAUUAGUGAGUAAUGAUAAGAGGGAUUAAAACUAAUCAGAAAAGGGGUAAAUGUAUACAUAGUCCCUGUACUAUGACAAAAUAACAACUCGGCGCCAACACUUCUUAUGUAAGCAUUUCAGUUUUUGAUUUUUUUUUAUAAAAAAAAUACAAUUGUUAAUAAACUAUUGGUGAUUAAUGCUGAAAAAAAAAAUGCAAUAUAUAUGACAUUUUAAAAAAUUAAAAUGCUUAAACUAAAAGUAUAAGAACCAAAUUGCCAUAUGUUCUUGGAUUAAUUCAAAAUAUAUGGAUAGGCCCUGUACUGUACCAAAUUCUAAAACUUUUAAAAAAUCUAAUUUUUUUUCAUAAAAAGCUAUUUUAUCCUUCUAUAUAAAUAAUUUACUAAUGAUUAAAACUGAAAAUAAAUGCAAUAUACGUGACAGUUUAAAAAUUAAAGUAUUUAAUUUAAAAAUCAAAUUUCCAUAUAAAUAUAGUAUAGGGGUCGCCAAAAUGUUUUGCCUAAAAAUAGAAAGGAUUAAAGAUUAGUAACAGAGGGAUUAAUUAUAAAUUUAUGAGGACAAAGUUGCCAUAAAAACACAGUAUAGGGACCUACAAUGUGUUUUAUACGUGAGGUUUGUUUAAGGGUUAAUAUUUUGUGGCUUUAUUGUUAUGCUGUUUAAUAAAAAACUAUUGAGUAUACAUGCAAAUGCACGUAAUAAGUAUUUUAAUAACGAUUUCAAAUUUAUAUGGAUUUGUACAUUAUAUUUAUUUAUUUAAAAAUUUGUAAUAUAAAAUUUAAAUUUAGAAAGUAACUUUAUUUAUUAUAUACUAUUAAAAAAUAUCUAUUAUAUUCUAACACAAAUUUAAAUAGUUGUUGCAACAAUAAUUAUAUAAUCCUAUUUUUUAUUUUAUAAUAUGUAUAUAUAGUGUAGAUAUAGAUAUACAUUAAAUAUUCUUCUAUAUUUAAUUCUAAUAAAUUUAAAAUUUAAAUAUAUAUUUAAACUAAAUUAAAUGUAUUAAUUAGUUGAAGAAAAAAGAGAAACUAAAAGUUUUUUGGGAAAAAUCUGAGUUUUUUUUUAAAAAAUUUGUAAAUAAUGCUAAAUCGUUUUAUUGUAAUUUCAAAUCUAGUAAGUAAGUUUAUGCUUUAUAAUUAAUGAUAAAACUUUAUAAUUUUUCAGCUAUUUAUUAUUUUCUCUCUCCAUUUUAAAAAAAUUUAGAAAUAUUUAAUAAUAUUGAGUAAGAUAAAAAUAUUAUUCUUUUAGAAUAUAUAAUUCUUAUAGAAAUUAAUGUGGAAAUAUAACUAAAUAACUUUUAAAUUUGUAAAACUUUUAAAUUUAUGGGGUAUUUACAAAAGUUAAAAUUAUUACUAAUAAUUAGAACAUUUAAAAGAGCAAUUAUGAAAAGGGUAAAAUCGGUAUUUUGAUUGUUGUUACUGUAGAUUUUAAUAAAAAUGUGUUUUGAAGGGGCAUUUGAAAUAUUUCAACUUUUAUGGGGGCAUCUAUGUAAUAUUAAAGGUUAAUUUUAUACAGAUUCCUAUAAAUAUAGUGAAUAACAAAUAUAUCCCUACAAAAUUCAAUUUUCAUAUGUUAUCUGCAAAAGUCCUGAUAUUUUUAAAUAUGUUCCUAUGCUUUGUUAUCGUUAGAGAACUAUUAGAGAAUUGUUUAUAUUUUCAAUUUUGCCAUCACAAAUAUGUUCCUCCAAAAGGCAUAACAGUAUUAUAUAAGAGGGAUAAAAAUAUCAAAAAUUAAUCAGGAUUAAAUAUUUAAUCAAUGAUUAACUAAAUUUUCCUAACGGAUUCUAACGACAGAAACAUAUUUAAAAAUAUUAGAACUUUUAUAGAAACAAUAUAUGAAAGUUGAACUUUGUAAAGAUAUAUUUAUCAUUCACUGUGUUUACAGGUAUCUGUAUGAAAUUAACCCUUAUAUUACAGGCGCACAAAACACAAUCUUUUUGUAAUCUGUAAGUUAGUUUAUACAAAAUUAUGAGUGUGAAAAAAUUAAAAAAAGAUAAAAAAAAAUAUAAAAAAAGGUGUAACAAAAUGGGCUACGUGGUUCAGUUGGGAGAUUUUGUCCCAUAAAAAAUUAUUAUUUGAACGGCUGUGAUCUAGCCCCACCAAGUACGUGGGAGGAAUCAAAACGGUCCCACUAAUUAUUAAAAAUAUUAUAAACAAUGUAAUACUAAUUAAUUAUGCGUAGAUAAAGCAGAACCUAAAUUGUAUUAUUUUCACAUAUUAAGAUAACCUUUGACCAUUUAUAUUUAUUUAUAUAUACAUAUAUAUUAUUAUAUUAUAUUAUAUUUUUUUUUUACUUAUGAAUUGAGAAUGGAGAGUUUUCUGACCCGCCACGUGGCGGGUGGACGCGAGGGGGUGNNNNNNNNNNNNNNNUUUAAAUGUAAAAUUUAAAUUUAAAUUUAUUAUUAAUGAUUUUUGAAUAUGUUGCUUAACUUUAUAUAUUUAGUUAGUAUAUUUUAUGUAAUUAUUGUAAUUAAAUAUAUUUUAUAAAAACUUAAUUGUAGUGUUUUUUAUAAAAAUAGAUUAUUUAUAUUAAAUAAUUAUAAAAUUAAAAUUAAUAUUUAAUACAUACAAUCUAAAAUAUUUAAAAAUUAGGCAUAAAUAAUUAUAUAUUUUAAAAUUUUAUUAUAAUUAAAAUACAAACUUAUGAAUUUACAAUCUGAACCCAAACGGGAUGUUAAGAUCAGCAUUAUUAUUUGUAAUCAAAACUUGCAUAUCCGAUAUAAUUGAUCGCAUGUAAAAAUGUCUUUAAAACUUAUUUAUUUAAUUAAGUAAAAUAUAUUGUUAUUUACUUUAUAAAAAAUAUAUUUAAUUAUUUAUUAAUUAUUUAUAAAGAAGAUAAACGGGUUUCUCAACUAGUUAUAGUUUAUUUUACGUUUCCUUAAAAAAAAAAAAUCUUAGAUACAAAUGUAUUGAGAUCCCCUCAAUUGUGCGUUAUUACGUAUUAGGUCCCUUAGUUUUUUUCUAUUGACAUCUUUUAACUCCUUAACUAUUGUUUUGUUUAAGUUUAGAGUUUAUUACAUUAAAAAUUUUGCUUAAUAGACCUAUUUACUAAACAGCUAUUAAUCAUUAAUUAUUAAUUUUUGAUAUAAAAUGAUUAACGUAAUUAAAUUUGAUGAAAUUGCUGACAAAUUUAAUUUGUAAUAGUUGAGGGGAUCUCCGUACAAUUUUACCCUUAAUUUUUGAAUAAAAGGUUACAUCCUAUCCAUUCCCCUUAUUUGAAAAGUGUGAUGGUUCAAUCUAAUUUUUUUUUUUCCUUCAAAAUUUCAAAAUCAAAUAAAAAAAAAUAAAAUGUAAAAACUAAGAAAUAAAAUAACAAUAAUGAAGAUUAAGGAUUCCUAAUCAUGAUUAGGUCAAACUAAUCAGUUUUACCUUCUAAUGAAGGAAUUAGCACUUGAACAAAAACAGUGAUUAGAGCCCACUUGAAAUUUUAAAAUUUUUUUACAAAACAACAAAGGACAAUAAAUAAAAGCACCAUUCUAAACCAAGGACUAUAAUAUAGGAAAGAAAUAUAAUAGAAACAAUAAAGGUUAAUUUCAUUUGUAACCUCACAAAGCUAUGAAAUAUCAUAAAUACCCUUCAAAUUUUUAAAAUUUCACAAAUAUUUCUCUAAAUAUAAUAUUUUUUUUAUAAAUACCCUCACUGUUAAUUUUUGCUAACUUCCGUCAAUUUUUAAAAAAUUCCAAUCCCUGCUGGUUUUUUUAUUAUUUUCUCCUUAAAAAUCUUACACUUAUUUAUAUAUAUAAAAAAAUCAUCAAAACGAGCUCGGCUUGAAAUUAAUUUCGAAUCUAAAUUUAGACUCAAACUCGACUUGAAAUUAAUUUGGAUCAAGUUAGAGCAAGACUAAUCUCGAACCAAGCUAGCUCAAGCCCUAAACGAGCUGCUUAAAAUUUUUAAUAUCAUGCAUCCUAUAAUUUAACUUUUAUGAAAUAUUGUUUAAAGACUCGACAUAAAAAUAUGCGUGAUAGUCCGAUCUAUAAAAUAAAUAUAUAAAAUAUGGUACAAUAAUAUUAAGAAAAAUAAUUUAUGAGUUGAUAUAUGUGACGUUGCAACGAAUGUACACUUUUAUUUGUGUUUUUAUUCCAGCCCUAUAAAAUUUUUAUCCACCCUUUGUGACGCUUCGCUUUCUAGGAGGUUAUCCAUUCCAAAACUACAUCAAAUCUAGCAUGCUUAAUCCUCUUAAUUUCUUGGAGUUAAGAAGUUUAAUUCUAUUAUAUUUUAUAUUCAGGACUAUUUAAAUUCUGGGGUCACAUUUCUUCCCCCCACUUCUUGAUUGUUCUCGUCAUGAUCAAGUAUACUCACAAGCACUAGACAAUGCGAGACUCGUCAUGCUUCUUAGCGAAUCUUGUGAGAGCAAUGCUCAGUCCACAACGAUCGUCAACUGGGGAGCCGCACUCUACUCACCGUCCUAGCUUAGCCGAAAUUCAUCUCACAGUUCUAGCUGGUAAUUGGCUAUGAUAUCAACUAAGACGCCCUGCUUUUGAGGGGGUUACCGAUCCUAAAACUAUUCUAGUUAACAUAACCCUUUUAAACUUUUGGUCAUAGCUAUCGCUCAAAAUAUUAUAGCUGUGUUAAAAGGUUUAACUAUAUUAAUCUUAUAUAGGACUAUUUAAAUUAUGGGCCCUUGAGCCCAUGUUGGGCUUUUCAUGUCCAUAUUUUGUGGAACAGGCUUUGUAGAAAUUGGGCCUAGCCCAUUUAGUACAAUAAUAAAAUUAUGUUGGUAAACUCUAUGACGAAUGCUUGAUCUAUUCAGUUAAAGCGUACAGAUACAGCGCCCACGGGUCUCGAUUGUUACUCGGCCGAUCCAGCCUUACGCCACUUCGAACAUGACUCAGCUCAACUCGGCCUCACGCCAUUUCGAUCGUGACUCGGCCGGCCCAUUUGGCCUUCCGCCACAGGGCAGGAUACUAACCCAUUUAAGCGAGCACUGCACAAAUUCGCAGCAUAUAGCAAUCGAAUCUAUGACCUCUGGCUCUGAUAUUACUCGUCGAAUCGUUGGUGCUAACUAUUAAUCCCAAAAGCUCGAACUGUUAGAAAUACACAACUAAUUUAUUUUAAGCGUAGAGAUACAAUGACCACGGAUCUUGAUUGUGACUUGGCUCAUUCUUGACGCUUAUUCGGCCCAUCUACGCGGUUGAUUUCGAAAUUCAUCGUCUUGUAGAUUGCGGUUAGAAAAGCUUUUAAUUUUAAAAUUACUGUAAAUUGCAAUAACUACAGUGGUGAUGUGUACCGCACCGUAAAAUAAAGUUUCGAAUAAACUAUUUUUAUAGUAGCAGGCUACAUAAUUGUGGAGUAUAAUUCUACAUCGGAUGCAUGGGUGAAAAAUUAUGAAUAUAAAACUACGAGGAUCAUAAAUUUUAGGAUUAAAUGCAUACAGAUUCCUACAAAAAUAAUGAAUUGCAAAUAUAUCUCUAUAAAGUUUAAUUUUUAUAUAUUGUCUUUAUAAAAGUUCUAAUAUUUUUAAGUAUGCAUAUCUAUCUGAUUUGUUACUGUUAUGAAACUAUUAAUAUUUUAAGUGAAAUAUCAAUUUUGCAAUCACAAAUAUGUCACUUCAAAAGUCACAAUAGUAUAAUAUAUAUAAGAGGGGCAAAAAUAUCAAGUUAUCUCGUAAACUAAUUAUAAUUAAGUAUUUAACCUAUGGUUAACUAACGUUUUCUAACGGAUUCUAAAGAUAGGAACAUAUUUGAAAAUGUUAGGACUUUUAUAGAGACAACAUAUAUAAGUUGAACUUUGUAGGUGUAGUGUUCCUGAGCUUUGGAUAGGAUUGACUUCAGUAUUAUAGACUGGUCGACAUCUCUGGAGAGUGUCGGACUGAGUCGGAGUCAAUUCUGCACGAAUUGGAUGCAGAAUUGGACUCGGCGCACUCAAAUAAGCAAAACUGGAGUUUUGCCAGAUUCGGGCGCCCAGAACAUUGUUAGGGUCGCCCAGAAAUGAGUGUUGAAUUUAUUUGAAACUGGAAGCCAAUUCGGAUCCUAUGUUCCGGGCGCCCAGAAGUGGGUCCGGAAAUUCCACCUCGUGAAUAUCGCUUGCUUCGACGCGUGGCAGGGUGGUAGGUGAGCUCCGCCGGAGCCGUUUACGGGCGCAGCACACCGCGGGCGGAGAGACCGAAGGGCCCGGUUUGUGCAGUCGGGAUGUUCUGGUCGCCCAGAACAUGGUUCCGGGCGCCCGGAAAUGCCCGUUUCUGCAGGGACACUGGAUAGCAGCUUGAGUUCCUGAGGCUUUUUGGAUCGUUCUAACUCACUAUAAAUACUUGGUAAGCGUCCCUUUGCUGCUCUUUUCUUCCCUCCUUCACAGAGAAACCCCUCUUAGCCUCUCAAACCUCGGAUUUGCUUCAAAUUGCAUCGAGUUCCAUUGAUCCAGCUUGAUGGUGUGCUGAUUCUGCAGUUCUUCAGCGUCGACCUCCAGUGUUUUGACUUGUGUGCGACGUAGGAAGAUCGGAUCUCGACGAAACUUGGUUUGCUGGAUUCUAGACUUCCAGAGAAAUCCACGAAGCCAUGAUUCACAGAAUUUGGUGAAGGUUAGCUCAGUCGAACUCAAGUUUUUCUCUGCUGUUGUUGCUGUGGGCAGAUUUGUAAGUUUUUGAGUUCUUUUUGGGGUGAACUUUGGAAGCAGGGGCUUUGUGGAGUUGAGUCACGUUCACCAUCACCCAGCACUGGAAUGGGGACCUUCUUCACCUGAUUUGGAGUUCAUUAGGUGAGUUUUGACAUUGAGAUUAGGACAUUUAAGCUUAAGUGCUGUUUUGCUGAAUUUCAUCGUCGACUGUUAGUAUUUCAGCUCGUACUCGACGUAGGAGCAUCGGAUUUCGUCGAGACUUAAUUCGUUGGUUUCGGGACUGCGAGAAGAAUCUACGACGUCCUUACUUGUGGAUUUUGGUGAAGUUUAGCUUGGUCGAAACCCUUCUCUUCUCUGCUGCUGUGUACUCGGACUGAAUUGUGGAUUUUGAUGAUUUUUAUUGGAUUUUUGGGUGCAUUGUAAAUCCAGAUCUUAAGGGGCUUUGUUGCUGGUUUGAAGAGGUUUCCAGCAGUGUUGCUUGAGGAUCCGAGACCCUAUUGCUGCCAGGAAUUGCAUUAGAGGUGGGUGUUUCAUCGGUUUCGCUCCUAAGUGCAUGUUAGUCAACGUGUAUAGUUCGAGUGUUGUAAAUCAUGCUUUAAUUCAUCGAUUAGCAUUUUGAAUGUAAUAUGAAUGUAGAAGCAUGCUGAAAUGAAUAUUUAAAUUAUACAUGUUGGACUUGAAAUUUGACUUAGGAGAAAACCUGCGUUUUGACCCGUCAUAUACUUAAACUACCAGAUUUAGCUCUAGGAGCCGUGUUCGAUUGUAUCGUUGCCGAGUCAGUGCAAUGGAUACCUUGGGUAGUUUAGAAUGUAUUUACACUCGUGCUGGUUCGCCGAGUGGAUUUUUACAGGGUCGUUCAGGUCGUUUCGGACUGUUGGGUGCCGUCAGAGUUGACGGUGGACCCGUAUCGCCUUUUUGGCGUCAGAUUGUGCCGAGGGCACGUUACCUGUUGGUUGUUAGACCAGUUUGAGUCGAUUACUUGACUUUGGCUAGUUGGAGCCUGAUUGAGCUCGACAGAGAUACGCUGCAUACUCGGUUGGGUAGCGCCCACGAGUGCCACUCCGGAGUCAGGCUUUGUGCUUUCGCGUUGGUGUCGCUCAUGCCGGUUGGACUUGCUCUCCACGGACCAGUUGUGUGGAUAGAGCCUGAUAGUUGCAACUGGGCAGGGACGGGUGUGUUCACAGUCCCAGGGACGGGUAUGUCUACAGUCCCGAUUGGAUUGGGUCAGAUUUGACAUUUCCUACAGUUGGUUAGUGUAGAGCAUGAUAGUAUAGUGAUUUGUAGCGGUUGAGUUUAUUUCCUGCUUUUCCUACUAUUCUUGCUCCCUUCUGUAGACUUAGUGGGUGGACCGAUGUUGUUUUGGGCGGUACCCACUGAGGACUACUUGUUUUUAUAGUAGUUCUCACGCCCAGUUGUUACCCCUGUUUUGCAGAGCCACAGGUUUCGGCUACUGCGCCGUCUGCGGACCAGGAUCGAGGCAAGGGCGUCGCGAGUUAGAGCCCUACCCGACGUGCUGAGCUAGAGGUGCCCCUACUGCAGGUAGAUGUUUUGUUUCGAGUUUAUGUACAUAGUGGACCUAACUCGCCAGUGCGAGUAGCUUUGUAUUUUGGAUUUGGACUAUGUAUAUGAAACUCAGCUGGUUUAGUUUCUGUUUUCUCUAGCAGCUCCCUACUACUGUUCGUAGUAGUGUUUAAUUUACAGGUACAGCUAUCGCUUCGUAUACAGGGGAAAUUCCUUUGUAUACGGCGGAUUUGUCGGCGUGCCCGGGGAAAGUGUAAUCCGGGGCGUGACAGUAGGGAUAUAUUUGCAAUAAACUAUAUUUGUAGGGACCUAUAUGAAAUUAACUUUAAAUUUUAAUACUAAUAAUUAAGUUUAAACACUUAAGUCAAUAAUUUAGAAUCUCACGAGUUAUUAUUGUUAGUAGAGCCGGAGUGUUGUAAAGAGCCUCCAACCACAAAUUGAUUCUUUGUAUUCUUGUUGAUGAAAAGUUGCAAUACCUUUCAUUACCCAACUUCCAUAAAAGAGAUUUAAAGAGCAUACAAAUAAAUAAUGUCACAAAUCAAAGGCCUAUACUUCCAUAAUAGCCAAAUAGAUAAGUUAAAGAGUAUGGGUCCAAGAACCAUAUAAUAAUAAUUAUUACAAAAUCAAGUCAAUAAAAGAGAUUUUUGAAUAGGUCACAUAGCAAUAAUAGAGUAUAUUGACCAAGACUUAGUCAAAAAGGAAACCAUGUAGACUAUGUAUGGAAUUGAUGUGCACUUCUACUUGGUCGGUCACUUGAUAACACUUCAACAAAGGAUGAUUGAAUACAAUAGUAAAAUAAAUAUAUGUUGUCAAUUUCCUAGCGUUUUAUUUCGGAGGCCCUAACUGCUUCCACAUUAUACGUUUAGUUCAUUUUACUUAAUGAAUGACAUAGAUAGUUUGCUACCUCUUUCUCAAAAAAAAAAAAAAAAAAUCCUAGCGUUUUUAUGUCGCGUCUUGAACCUAUUAAAAAGUCUAGAGUCGAAGUGUUACGUACGGUAAGUGUUGAGCAUAAAUUAUAAAGAUAUGGUUUUCUGAUAUAUAUAGCUUAAUAUGUUAGAAAUAAAUAGUUAUUGAACAAUGUUGAAUAACAUAGCCAUUUUAUUUUUAUCCUCUAUAGUGUAAUAAUUCUGUGGGAAUUAAUAGUGAGUUUGACAAAAGAAGAAUCAGAAAUAAAGAAAGCUCUCUUUCAUGUUGCCUUUAUUUUUUUAAUUUUUUUUCUAAUUACCGACCGUCCCUAAAGCAAGCGACAAAGGACUUGAUGGUUGGUAGCCGAGACCCAAGUUCGAAUCCUAGUUGAUUCACAUUUUCAGCUAAGUUUAUUUCUAAAUGAAAUAAACGAAGUUGGUAACAUGCUAUCUGUCUCUCAAAAAAAAAAUUUUUUUUCUAAUUUUUAAUUUAUAUAUAUAUUUUUAGUGAUAUAUAUCUCUUUCAGGUGCUUCUUAAGCAGCUAAAUUUUCAUUGUGCACCUCUCGAUUUCAUUGCUAGUAAAAUAAGAAAAAAAAAAUGAAAAUCAAAGAUUGGGCAAUGCUCUAUAUAUCCACUAUAAAUUUUUAUAAUUUUAUUAUUCGCAUAUUAUUAUAAGUUAUUACAACCAUAUGUGAAUACUCUAUUAUAGUUUAAACCAAUAAAUCCACGUUUUAAGCAUAGGAGAUAAUUCCUCGAAGCUUAUUAUCUUACUUGAUUUAAGUAUCUUAUUUUAAGUAUAUUAUUUAAAAAAUAUUAAAAAAUAUAUAAAAUAUAUGUUGCCAUACAUUGAGAGCCACCCCAUGCAGAUACGUAAAUUAACUGUCCAUUAAAUACAAUAUACAAAUUUUAAAACAGUAAUAAAUAGUUGAUCGAACAGUAUACUUUGGUUCUUAAAAUUUAAUAUAUUAUAAUUUUUAGCUCGAAAUUUUUAAAUUAUUACAAUUAAAUCUCACAAUCCGAUUUAGUUGACUAAAUAUUGACAAAUUAUUUUAAUACAGAAGUCAUGCAAUAUCUUAAUUUUUAUUACAUCAUGGAUAAUACUUUCACAUCUCUUAUACAUUAUCAAUUGGGUUAAUUUCAUACAGGUCUUUACAAACAUAGCGAAUUACAAAUAUAUCCCUACAAAAUUUAAUUUUCAUAUGUUAUACCUUUAAAAGUUCUAAUAUUUUCAAAUAUGUUCCUAUCGUUAGAAUCCGUUAGAAAACUUUAGUUAACCAUAGGUUAAAUAAUUAACUCUGAUUAGUUUAUAAGAUAACUUGACAUUUUUGCCUCUCUUAUAUUAUACUAUUAUGAUUUUUGAAGAGAUAUAUUUGAUGGCAAAAUUGACAUUUCACUUAAAAUAUAAAUAGUUCUAUAACAUUAACAAAUCAGAGAAAUAUAUUUGAAAAUAUUAGAACUUUGUAGGGACAACAUAUGAAAGUUGAAUUGUGUAGGGAUAUAUUUGCAAUUUACUAUAUUUGUAGCGAUCUGUAUAAAAUUAAUCCUUAUCAAUUUGUCAAUAUUUAACUCACUAAAUUGGAUUGUACGAUUUAAUUAUAAUAAUUCAGAAAGCUUGAGUCAGAAAUUACAACAAAUUAAAGUUUAAGUACCAAAUUGUUACCAAACUUGCAGUUUGAGGACCAAAGUGUGAUUUAUCCUAAUUUUUAUUUUAUUUUAUUUUAUUUUAUUUUAUUUGGGUGGAGCCCAAAACCUAACUUGUAUUGCUUCUUAUUAUCCAGUUGGCAAUGCCUCAUUGGUUGGGAGAGGCAUAUAUAUAGCCGUUGAACCCACCCUACUUAAUUAACAGCUCACAUCCAUCUAAUUUCAAACACAAAACAAAAUUAAGUACCCAACUCCAACAGAUAUAUAGAGACCACUCCAACAAAAACAAAAAAAAUUAAACUAUUGCCUGGACCUGGUGUACUAUAUCGACUCAAAUACUCUUUUCAGAGGCCAUUUCGUUUCUUACAACCGUGUAUACCGUAAAAAUUAUACAUUAGAUAUGCAUAAAAGCUCCAUUUAAAAUUACAAAAAAUUACUAUUUAUGCGACGAGAAAGUACAAUUAAGGAUACUUUAUUUUUUUUGCAUGUAAUAAUAUAUUUUACAUAUUAUAAUUAGUUGGCUGAGAUAUAUAUUUUAUAAUUUUAUCGAAAAACGAAGAAUCAUGUGUCCUAAUUAGUUAGAUAUGCAACAACUAUAUUCUUAGAAGUUGUACUUAGAAUUUUUUAGCUUGUUCAUAAUUGCGUGCGUAAAUACAAAUCGAAUUCAAAAGCAAAGCAAAAAAGGCCCUUAAAAACCCAAAUUUUAACUUGUCCGGUUCAUGGUGACGUGGUAGACCUGGUACACGGAUUAUGAAACGUUCCAACGGUCAAAAAUAAUCAAACUUAAGAGCCGUUAAACUAACACCACACGCGGCGUGUGUGGGCCCCACACACACACUUUGAUGCUGGAAAAAAUUCCCCCCCUCUACUAAAUCUCACACCAUUAUAACACCCACACAUUCACACCCACUAAUUAUAGGCCCCCAUUUUCUAUUUAGAUUUCAAAGGAAAAUUUAUAUUUAGAUCCCUAAAUUUUUGUAAAAAUUCUAGGAAAACCAAAUCUUAUAACCACUCAUUUUUUAAGGUAAAUUUUAAUAUAUAUAUAUAUAUAUAUAUAUAGUUGAGCUGGAAUGCUAUCGGUAGCAAACCGGCUCCGUUGCCACCCAUUUGUUUUCGAUGGUGGAGCCUUUAAAUCGACGAUCGGCACCGUUGAACAUGAUCUAUACCACUUGAAGUAUUUAGAAAUCAAAUUUCAAAUCUUUUCGAUAUCAUUGACCUAAUGAUCAAAGAGUUUCAAAAUUUGCAAUUUUAAUGGUAGAUAUGAGGUAUUUUCUCGUUUAACGGUGUAAAGCUAUCUAAAUCAAUUGAAUUUUGGUUAGAAAAUUCUUUAAACUAUUUAGAAUAAGAUCUAUACUCCCGAUCUUGAUUACAAAAUUCGUAUUAUCACUUUUUAGGGGAUAUUCAUUUUCAGCCGUUCAUUUUUACGCCAACUUAAUGGACAAGAGAAUAAUAUUGGAAAAAUAUGAAAUUUGAUUUUUAGAUACUUCAAGUGAUAUAGAUCAUAUUCAACGAUGCCGAUCAUCGAUUUGGAGGCUCCAUCAUCGAAAACAAAUGGGUGGCAACGGAGCCCGAUUGAUAUCGACAGUAUUCUAGCUCAACUCUCUCUCUCUCUCUCUCUCUCUCUCUCUCUAUAUAUAUAUAUAUAUAUAUAUAUAUUACAUCUAUAAAUCUAUAAAUCUAUAUGAAGCCACAAUAUUUCUUGCCACGUGGCAUAUUAUCCUUCAUUCUCAUAACCCAACUUUAAAUCAAACCACAACUCUUCACCUCGCUACUUCUCUAAUUAAUGCAAUGUGCAACAUUUAAUUAUAUGCAACUUUAAAUCCAACUUUAAAUCAAACCACCUUUUUCUCUUCUCAACGCCGAACCCUUCACCUCGCUGCUACUCUAAUUACAUGCUAGGUGCAACAUUUAAUUACAUGCACCAUAUUAAUAUUCUAUUAAUGAGUGAGCUUUGUAAUUUUAAUCCACUCCCCUCCUCCAUUAAUCUCUUACCCCUCUCUUUUGUAACUUUUUUGUAUGCACCAUAAAAAAAAACAUCAUCGUCUAAUCUCCCACUCCACACUCAUCUCUCUCUUUCUCUUAUUGUGUUAACGAAGAUGAUGAGGAGGAAGAAGAAGAAGAAGAAGAAGAAGAAGAGCCUCUGAAGAACAUUGUCUCCUUCGAGAAGUAUCGCCUCGUGAAAUCGAGCUACGGCCCAUAUAAGUGCCCGCUGAAUCGAUCCGCGCGGGAGCUCCUGCUUAACAUGUGACUUUAGUCAUGCAAAUUGGUUGUACUUAAUAUGGUAUAAAUUUCUAUAUAUUAAUAAACUGUAAAUGUAAAUUUUAUUAAAAUUUUUAAACUUUGCUUCUAUUAACUAUCUGCUGCAUCGCGCGGGUCUUUACACUAGUAGUAAUGAAAUACAGAUUGUAAGAUGAUAAAAUUAUUAUAUUAUUGCUCUGUGGUUUGUAAGAUGUAUUAUUUUACUACCAUUUUUGCAGCGAGAUCAAAUAGUAAAAUAAAAAUAAAAUUAUAUAAUAGUUAAGUAUGGCAUUUUAAACCACAUUGUGAUAGAAUAAAAAUAUGCUAAACCACAUAGAGAGCAAAUUGAAGUUUAAAUAUGGUUUGCAUUUAGAUCAUGAUAUUAUACAGUCUUGUGGUUUGUAAAAAAGUAUCACUCUAUUAUACUUUUUUACACUGAACUUCUGAUGAUGAAAGAAAAAAAAUUAUAUAACAAAUUAAUUAUAACUUUUUAAACCAUAAAGUGACAAAAUAAAAUUAUGUUAAACCAUAUAAAGGGCAAAUUGAAGUUUAAAUAUGAUUUCAAGUUUUAAUUUUUUUUUUUUCGUAGAGAAGCUUUCUUAAGCAUCUAUGUAGUAACAUAAAGUCUGAAUUUUCUAGUAAUAGUUUUAAUUUUACAAAAAAUUAAAUCAGAAUCUCUGUAUUUUAGAUAAUUUUAGAGAAAUAUCUAAAUGUUUAUCUUUUCAAAUAAGAUCUUGAAUCUUAUGUUUUACUUCUGAUCAGAAUUUUCUGCUAAUAGCUUUAAUAUUUUUUUAUUUGGUGCGAUUUUGCUUUUGCUAUACAUGCAAAGUUUAUGAAGAUAAUAUACCAGCUAAAAAAAAACUGGGGACUGGGGUGAAAUUAUUUAGAAACUCACGGAUCUAUACAUAAACAACCGUUGGUUGGUUUGAUGGGCCCACAUAAAAUAAUUAGCUCUUGGUCACAUUUGAGGGUCACUUUUCGCCCUUCGCGACCGUUUCUCUCUCUCUCUCUCUCUCUCUCUCUCUUCUUUCUCUCUCCUCUCUCUCUCUCUAAAGAGAGGGAGGGGGGAGAGAGAGAGGUGUCGAUCGAAAGGUUCGUCGAUCGUUCGAUUACUUAACGCGUUUUCUCGUCUAGGGUUUGGGCGAUCGAUAGGGGGCUGUGUUAGUAUAAAAUCCCCCACUUUUCGCCCCCCUUUUCCUACUCAAUUUGGCCAAUUUCCGCGUCGAUUUCGAUUGGAGUUUUCCGGGAUUUGGCGCUGUCGAUUGGAAAGGGGAGGUAGAGAUUGGGGGAUUCUUCUUCAGUUCAAUUUCGUUUUGUUCUCUCUCUCUGUCCAUCGCAGGGGAUUUCGAUUUUGUACAAUUUUUGGAUUUUUUUAUUGGUUUUCAGGAGAAACUAGAUUUGGGUUUUGUGAUUUUGGAUUCGGUGAUCACUCUUUGGACGUCAAAAUCCGAUCUUUGUUCAUUUUUGUGGAGUUUCCGUAUUGUUAGGGUUUGUUUCAAUCUUCUUUGGUUGGUUUUUAAAAUCCCCAACCUAAAUUCCAGGGGAAAUUGGAUUUGGGUUUUGCGAUUUGGGACUCGGUGAUUACUCUUUUUGGUGUCAAAGUCUCAUCUUUGCCAUUCUUAGAGGAGAUUGGUAUUAGGGGUUUUCUCAAUCAAUUGCAAUUGAUUCUAAAGGUAUAUAAGAUCAUCAAAUAUGUGGAGUGAGAUGAAGCCCAUAUUGAAGAGCAAAUCUGAUGAUGAAGCUGAUUAUUUCCCGUCGUCUCCCCGAAAAGAUUGGUCCAUCAAUCUCAUGAAAUUCGUAUCGAUUUUGGUCAUAUUCAUGACCGGUUUGGCGAUCGGCCUAUCGCUAAGCGGCCACCUGAGCCGGUUCUACACCUCGCAGACCGAUCUCUUCUUCCCGCGCACCACGUACGCCGCAAGCUGCGACGGGGACUGCAUGAGCCUGCAGAAUUUCAUCAAACCCCCGCAUUUGAUCCAUUCGAUGAGCGACGAGGAGCUGUUUUGGCGUGCGUCGAUGGUGCCCAAAAUGGAGGAGUAUCCGUUCGAGAGGGUGCCGAAAGUGGCCUUCAUGUUUAUGACCCGCGGGCCUUUGCCCUUCGCGCCGCUUUGGGAUCGGUUCUUUAAGGGUCACGAAGGGUUGUAUUCGGUUUACGUGCAUACUCUUCCCGAUUACAGGCUUAAUGUGUCGAUGAGCUCGGUGUUCUUCGGCCGACAGAUCCCGAGUGAGGUGAGAUGUGGUCUCAGUUGCCUUUUCUUUCCGUGCUUAUUAAUAUUCGGCAAUUAGGGUACCCUAUGAACAUUAGAACAUUAUGCAUCUCCAGUUUCAUUUGCUAAUUCGACGAAAUCAUACAAUAAAUGCAUGACCUUGUUGUUUAAGAUGUAUAUGAGCAUUUAUUUCUUCAUAUAUCAGCUGAGUUCAAAACUUGAAUUGCAAGUAUUGUACAAAAUUCGAUGCAGCUAUGGUUGAUUAGAAGCACUUUUUUGGUUAAAUCUAUUUUGCGUUGUGUCUAAUAUCUUUAUCUUUUGUCGCGUAGGAAGUGUCGUGGGGAUCCGUGACGCUAGUAGAUGCCGAGAAGCGCUUAUUGGCCAAUGCUCUGCUCGACUUCUCCAACGAGCGCUUCAUCCUACUCUCCGAGAGCUGCAUUCCGGUGUACAACUUCCCCACCGUUUAUGAAUACCUUAUAAAUUCCGCGCACACGUUCGUGGAAUCCUACGACGAAAAUACCCCUCAAGGCCGCGGCCGCUACAGCCGCCGCAUGGCCCCUAAAAUCCAGCUCUACCAUUGGCGGAAAGGGUCGGAGUGGUUCGAGCUCAACCGCGAGCUCGCUAUCAACAUAGUGGCGGAGUACAAGUACUAUUCCCUCUUUAGGAAGUAUUGUAGACCAUCUUGCUAUCCCGACGAGCAUUACAUACCGACUUACUUGAACAUGUUCCACGGGUCUUUGAAUGCGAACCGGAGUGUGACGUGGGUCGACUGGUCGAGAGGCGGGCCCCACCCGGCCACCUACGGAGCUCCGAACGUCACGGUCGAAUUCAUCCGGGCUAUUAGAAACAACGGGACCUUCUGUAUGUACAAUUCGAGGCCGACUUCGAUUUGCUUCCUCUUUGCUCGGAAGUUCGCUCCUAGCGCCUUGGGGCCGUUGCUCAACCUCACGUCGACGGUGAUGGACUUUUGAUUGGAUCAUUCGUCGAACAAUCGUGGCCGUCGAGUUGCAAAGAUCACGCCAACGACCCCCGCAUCGAUCAACCAACGGAGAGAUAUCCUCUUUCCAUAAAUGGAUAGAGAUGGCUUUGGUGGCGGUUCCUUUUCGUAUUCCAAAGUUUGGUUACCAAAUAGCACCGAAGGCGCCACCGAGAGGGAUCUUCGAUUUGUUCUCGUGCUACAUUCUUUUUCUUUUCUUUCCAGUUUCAUUACUGUUCUGUACAAGAUGAUUUGUAUUGACUUGUUCAGAUACUAAUUUUUGUGAAUACCAACUCAUCAUUCAUUGCUUUGAUUAAACUCUCAGUGAGCAUCAGAUGCCGAUGAGGUUCAGAUUUUGGUAUCGAAUGCUUUAAGUAACAGGUUGGCACCGGCCGUCGGGUUGUCGCAGAAAUGUUUUCGGAUAUUUGAAGUAGGUAAUCUGGGCCUGGGAAUAUGCUAUUCCCUGUGACAAUCUUGCUGGAUAAGAAUCUUCAUGCUCAAAAUAAGAAAAAAAGAAAGAUAUCUAUAGCUUGAUUGGUGCUUGUUGUGUACACCAUCCUAUUAUGUGCUUGUUAUGAUUGCAUAAACCAAAUGAUUUGUUGCUAAAGCAGGCACCAAUAAUUUCAUUAUGAAAAAAUGACUUGAAAAUCGAAUAUGUUGUUCUAUCAUAAAAGAAAAUUUUCGCAUCAAAUAUAAUAUCGCCGAAUAACUUAUUCCGGCAUUCAAAGAAGCCUUACAUGAAUAAGGGAAAUUACUCUUUGUUGACUUGGUAUUUAAUAUCAUAUAUCAUACUAGAGUAACUCCUUUUGAUUUGUUCAAUAUGAUAAAGUUAUCAGGUAUCUGAAAGAAUAAAAGUUUCAGAAGAAACAAAGGAUGAAAGUGAUGUGUGUAUAUUCUAUGGGAGAGAUGCUCUCACGUUUUACCCUCUCUCAUCUAGGGACCCAAACGGAUCCGGGUUGGUGGAGCUCCUGUUUUUCGGGACAAUUUUUAUGAUCCGAGAUGAAUUCGGGGCAGAAAACGAAAAAAUUUUUGACCCGCCCCAAAUCUGCCUCGAAAAUUAUUUAUAUUUUUAAAAAAUGUCUCUAAAAAAAUAACAUAUUUACAAACAAGUUCAAAAUACAAAUAAAUUAGUGCUCUUAUUUCUCAUGUAUUUGAAACUUUUGAAUUCGAAUUGUAAUUGAUUUUUUCUUUUAAUUUUUGUAAUUGAUNGAUAGUAUAGUAAUAUAUAUAUAUAUAUAUAUAUAUAUAUAUAUAUAUAUAUAUUAUUAAAAUUUAUUAAUUUAUAUUUUAUAAAAUAUUAAUAAUAUUAUAAUUUUAUAAAAAAUAUUAAUUGGCGGGGCAAAUUCGGGGCGCUGGCAAGAGGCAGGUUACGAGGCAGCACGAAUUAUGGGUUAUAUUUUUUAAUCCAUCACGAAUUCAAGGCAGAAUUUGAUAGUCGAGGCGGGAGGCGGUGCGGGGCUCCUGCCCUCAGAUCCGCCCCGUUUGCAUUCCUACUUCCAUGUAGCAGUUAAUUACUUAAAACCUCCAAUAGUUUUAGUUCACACUUAUUAGGAAGCAUCAGAAGUGUGUCCUUUCACGUCUCACAGUAUUUCUAUUAGGGGCUACUUAAAUUAUUAAAUUUAAGUGAAGUUUAAAUUUAGAUUAAUGCCUAGAUUAUAUUGGUCACUUGAUAAUAUUGUUUUCGGUAAGUUGGAGGCUCAGUAGGUAGGGGAUCAAACUCUCAACUAACUGUGCUAGACAGUAGUGGUUCGAUCCCUAAUAGUAAUGCAAGAGAUCAAAUCCUUGUUGUCUGAGUUUGCAAUAAAAGUAUCAACCAAGUACUCUAAACAGUGGUGGUGAAUGAAUGAUUAGUCCAGUAGUAAAAUUACAUUGCCUCGCCUAAGGGCUAUUGGAUUUCGAGCCAAGCCCGUUAAGAAUAUUGCCCGAAAAUGAAUACGAUCCAAGUGUUGCUCGGCUUGCGGACCGUGGUUUGCGCCAGUUUGGGCUCAUUGGGAUUUUGUGUUUUUCGGGUUUUGGGUGGUUCAAGUUUUAGAUAGUCCGGAUCAUGGCUCGUCGCCUUUUCGGGUUGUUCGAGUUUCAGUUUGGGCUUGGAUUGCAUGCUAAUAGCUUUCGGGUCAAUUUGGGUUUCGAUCGAUCCGCUUGCUGAAUCGACCCGAGUAGGGUCGAUGUUGGCCCGUUUCCUGAAAAAGCCCAUGAAAACGGGUCCAUUAAGGGCCCAUAAGGUUCUCUAAGAAAACUUUGUUAAAAUAGGGUAUACCCUGUUUAAUCAAAAAAAGGCUCUCUAUUAAGAAAAAAAUACAUAGAAUUUUAAUUUCCUUUAGUUUAUGAGAACUUCUCUCUCACACAAACAAAAAAACACACUUUAGUGUUAAAUUAUAUAAAACAACUGUUAUUUUUCAAAACUUAAACUUCUAGGAAACAAUAUUUUUAUAUUUUUACUAUCUUUGUAUUGAACAUUUUUUCUCACGUCCAGGGGCUCGAGACUUUUUCGUAGGCCCAAAAAUGGAAGGAAAUAUAAUAAUGUUAGGUAUCCGGCGGAGCUCGAACUCAAAACCUCCUCAUAUUCUGAUGCCAUAUUAAAUUCUUAAAAAAAUUGAGUUUUCCGAGAACAAUAUUUUUAUAUUUUUAUAUUUUAUAUUCAAUAGGAAUAAAGAACAUAGGAAUGUACACAUUUAAUUCCUCACCUAAGAAAGCAUCAAUAAAGUUAUGACAUUGCCAAGCAAACAAAUAUCUUAUGAAUUGGGUAAAAGCAUUAUACUGCUUCUAAGCAAACUAGGAAAAUAGCAACUUCCAGAUUAAAUAGGCUCUAUUUUUUUUUUUCCCUUUUUAUUGAUAUCCCUCAAAUUAUUUUUCUAAAAUUGUUAAACCAAUUGAAAUUGUACAAAAAUCCUCAAAUCUUAUUAAUUGAAAGAACAAAAGAAUAAUAUUUACAGGAUUUGUUUAAAAAUGGCCUAUAGUUGAGGGGGUCCCUCCACAUUUUACCUUUCUGCAAUAAAUUCUGGUUGGUACUUAGCCUCAGCAAAGUGAAAGUUUUAAUACACCAAACCAACCUAAUGAAUUUAAGUAGUUUGCUUUUUUUUUUUAUUUAAAAAAAAAAACUAUAAAGAGAAAUAUCACCAACUCAUACUAUAAACAAAUAUGAAAUAUCCAUAUAUGUGACAAAUAAAAACUAUAUACAUAGUGAACUCUCUCAUGUGAGGGUAGUGAUAUUAACACGAUAAGUUCGCCUUUUUGAUAGGACAGAUACACUAAAGCCGGGCGCAUCUGCUCUGUCAAUAAUAAAACUGCUAUAUCCUCAUAUAUACGACGAUUCCGAAUAUUAACAGUGGAAGGAGAUUUCACAAAGCGAAACAAAAGAUAACAACUCAAAACAACACUCAGGUGCAGUCCCUGAGAAGCUCGACUAAGCCCGACCGCUGCUCGUCGCUCAGCUUCUUCGGGAAAACGAUGCUGAAUUUUAUCCUCAGAUCGCCCCUCGCGAGCGCCUUUUCGCUCGCGAGGGGCAUUCCCUGGCCCUUGAUCACCUUCUCGUAGCCCGGAUAGAUGAUCUCCUCAUCGAAUGAGCAGUUCAUUUUUUCUCCGGUGAGAAGUCGAAAAGAGAAUGCCCAUCCUGUUAAAGCAUUGAUCAAAGGGACCUCAACUUUGAGAACCAAAUCAUUCCCCACUCUCUUGAAAAUGGGGUGCUCCUUUUCUUUGAUCACGAAGACCAAGUCGGCGGCGAGACACCCCGGUCUCUCGUCCCCCAUGUUCUCGAAUGUGAUCUUGGUUCCUUUCCUCCACCCGGGUUUUAUUCUUAUUGUCAGUGUUUCCUCCUUUUUCGCAAUCACCCUGCAUUACAAACCAAAAGUUUCACAGUUUCAGUUAAAGAAGUUUCGAUCUGACGGUGUUUCAGGUUUCAAUUUCAGCGCUGACGCUGACGGCAGACUAACGGUAGGACUUGAUUACAGAGACGAAAUUGACGAAAUUGGUAAAAUCGAAACUCGGAGGACGUAAUUUUGAAACUGUAGUCAGACAAAUGCAUCUGACCAGAAUGGAAGAAGAGAAGUUACUGUCUCAUAAUUUCAGGUGGCUACCGCCUUCGCAUAUCUCUGAAUUCAAUUUAUUGAAUUUAGGACCACUUCUUAAAAGAUAAGCUGCAUAAACAGCAAGAGGUACGUAUUUGAUGACAAAUUUAUGAAUCUACAAAUGUAAACGAAGCGUAAUUUUUCUUAAAUUCGGGCAACAUAUGAAGUAGAGAUAAAAUAAAACUAAGGCAAAGCUUUGCGAUUAACCUUAUGAUGAAUCUACAACUAUCACUGUUUCAUCAUGAAUUUAAGCUGAUACAAUUUACUGAUGUAAAAGCACCUCUGUUCUAGUUAACUGAUUAGCAUGAAGAGCACUACUUACAUAAGAAUCUACCGAUUUCUUUGGUUUCGAGUAUUUUCAUUUUGUAAUCAAUCGGAAAAGCAAUAUCCUUUGCAUCCAACUGAGAAAAUGCUCAAACAGUGAGAAUUCGUUCGAAUUGUUGCACGUAAAAUUUCCAUUGCUUCGCUUCAUUUCAUUCGAAUUCCUUGAUUAGUAACUAGAAACUACCACUUCGCUUAUGGAUCAAAGAGUAAAAGAAAGCAAUUGAUUGCAUUUUAGCGUAUGAUCCUAUCGGGUCCUGCUGUAGAGUGUAGUGCUUUUCGAUAAACUGACGAAUCACUACUUUUCGUUAAAAGAAAAAAAAGUCAAUGUCAUUUUAACUUUUCGCACUUUUCACAAGAACCAAAGCUCCAUAGUUUUCCGCGCUCUACUACGUGUAUAGCUGCAGCUAAAAGCAGAAGCAGAAGUAGGGUCAAAUAGACAAUAGAUGGUAAAUCGAACCCGUUCUUGGCGACGACGUCGCGGACGACCUUGAUCUCCUUCUUGGAUCCGCGGCAGAGUUCCUCGAGCGAGCACUCGAUCUUCCGCUCCACCGGCGGCAGCUUCCGCCGCUCGAACGAGCUUUUGAAUGCCGCCAGCGCGGCGCGGCUCCUCCCCACAUUCCCGGCCGAGUUGCACCAGACACCCUCCUCAUUCUUCCGAUCCUUCUCGCCCCUCCGAACCCCCGGCGCCGCCGCGCUGCCGCCGGCAGCGGCGCCGCCGUUUACGCCGUUAAUGCCGCCUCCGGCAAUGUUGCCACCGCCGCCGCCGCCGCCGCCGCCGCAGUUUGCCCCAAACAGUGCCCUGUUCUCUUGCUGAUCACUCAGUGCCUAAGAGAAUGUGAAUUGAUGAAUAAAUGAAUGGAUAUUACAGAAAAAAAAAAUGGUGCUAAAAUUCAAUCAAAAAAUACCCCCGAAAAAACCCAUAAAAAUCAUAAAAUUUACGAUUUAAUGCGCCAAAAAAUAGCAAAUUGUUUGCAAUCUAUGCAACUGCAAGUGAAAAAAAAAAGAUGACAGUUUUUUUUUUUUUUUUUUUUUUUUUUUUUUUUUUUUUUGCAAUAACAAUAAGAGAAGAAUCAAUUUGUCAACACAUUUAACUAUAAAAUUUAUUACAAAUAGAGAAAAAGGAGACAUUAUAGCAAUAGAGAUCUAAAAGUAGAUAUGCAUAAUUUAUUAGGUGUAUCCAAAAGUUAAUAUUAUGCAAAGGGUCUUACAGAAUUAACCUUAUCUCCUUUCACUGUCGGAGUAUUUGUCAGAAUAUUAAAAAAUUGAAAGCUCAUUAAAUAAAACACUCAUUUUGGCCACAAAUAAUUCACAAAUUUUCUUAUAAUUUUGGUACUCUGAAUAUAAAAUAUAAAAAUAUCGUCCAAUUUUAUAAAAUAAAAUUACGACUGCAACAGCUACCGGAAAAAGCAUGCAGCCUUUAAAAAGCCUGAAAAAUUUGACAGCACUUGCAAUCCUUUCUCGUCGGAUGUCAGAAAAUUGUAUGACAGCCGCCAGCGAAUGAUGAAGGACUGACAGCACUUUCGAAUAUUUUAGGCCUUCCGAGGCAUACAAGCAGUCCUUGUGCUUGAGUCUCGACAUGGUAUCAGAGUAAGAGCUUUUGAAAGUAAAAUUUAGACCUCGUAGGCUUCGGUGAUGGAUUUGAAGCGCGCUUCUGCUUCGGGCUUGGAGGAGGGAGGGUGCUUAUCCGGAUGCCAUUUUCGCACCAAGGAUUUGUAGGCGCUGCGAAUCUCAUGAGGGGAGGAGUCCUUUGAGAUGUUGAGUAUUUUGUAGUAAAUAUCUGGGGGGUUUCCCAUUGCAAAAUUAUGGAGAUUUUAGAGGCACUAAGUUGUAAAAAAAAAAAAAAAUUAAACAAGAGAGAGAGAGAGAGAGAGAGAGGAAUAAGUGGAUGGAAGUGGAAGAGAUGAGAGUGGGUUUUAUUUAGGAAGUGAGAGAGAGAGAUGGUGAGGAAUUUCCCAUCUUUUUCAAAUGGAUAAACACUCCCUAAACUUUAACCGAUUGUGAUAUUGAUCCCUAAUAUUUUUAGGCUAAAUUAUAAAAAAAGUCUCUUAUAAAUAUUAAUUUUUUUUAUUUUUUCUCUCCGACUUCCAAAAAGUUAGAUUUUACCCACUCAAUAACUCACCCGCUAGUUUCAUCACUAUUCUAUUUAUUUCUUACAAUUUAUAUUAAAAAUAUCUUUAAAAUGAUAGAAAUAUAUUAAAAAUUUAUUUUUUUUAUAUAAAAGAAGUAAGGGCAAUUUGAUCAUUUUGCCCUCUCUCCAUUAACGCCGUACUCUUUGAAAAUAUUUUUAAAACUUUAAGAAAGUAAAAUAUAGAUUUUUGAAGGUCGGGAAGGAAAAGUGAAAAAUCGAGCAUUUAUAGAAAAAUUUUCUGAAUUUAGUUUUUCUAAAAUUGAUUUGCGCUUCUUUACUUACUGUUUGUUUGAUUUAGCCUCUUCUCUGUUAGUAAUUUUAGAAAUUUUGUUAGGAUCAAAACGAACACUCGCCAAAGAUGCACGUGAUAAAAAAUUUGCUCAAGUCAGAAAAGAGAUCGCUGGUAUCUCUCGUGCACGUUUGAUUCUGACAGAAUCCCCAAAAUUAUCAACGAAGACGUUAGAUUCAACGGCUUAUAAACCGAGAAAAUGUAAUUUCAAAAUGGAUUAGCCUCCGUUUGGUUCGGGGUUAAGAAAAAAUAGCUAUUUCAGGAAUAGAGUUAAGUUCAGGGUUAAAGUGGAGUUAAAGUUUUUUUGUGUUUGGUUGGAGGUUGGAGUUAGUCUAGAAUAAUGAAAAAUAGUGUUUGGUUGGAGUAGAUGGAAUAAGAAGAUAAUGAUUGAUAAAGAAGGAUAAACUAUACAUUUUAACUAGAGAAAAAUGUUAGUUAUACAACUAAAAAACAGAGUGCACAUCUUACACUCCAAAAUUUUUAAAUUUAAUUUUUUACAAAACUUUUUUAAUAUAAAAAAGGAUAAACUUCAAAUAUCCCUCUCGUGGUUUCACACUUUCUACUUUACUACCCUAUGGUUUAAAGUGUAUCAAGUUAGUCCAUGUGGUUUCGUACUUUUUUUACUUUAGUAUUAUGUGAUUUAAAUUAUAUUAAGUUAGUACCCUGUGGUUUCAUUUUUCUCUUUCUAUAAUUCAUUUCACUAAUUUUUUUUGUUAAAUCAGUGACAAAGUUAAAAUUAAAGGAUACUAAAAUAAAUAUUCGAUAAACCUAGAUAGAGUAUGAAGUUUUUUGUAUAUAAUUUAAUGAAAUAUUAACGGAGGAAAAAAAAAUCAAUGACAAAGUUAAAGUAAAGGAUACUAAAGUAAAUAUUCGAUAAACCUAGAUAGGAUAUCUGAAGUUUUUUGUAUAUAAUUUAACGAGAUAUUAACAGAUGAGCCGACAAAAAGAUAAAAAUAAAACCACAGGGUACUAAAUUGAUACACUUUAAACCACAAGAUACUAAAGUGAGAAAGUGCGAACCACAGGGUACUAAAUUGAUACACUUUAACCCAGAGUGUACUAAAGUAAAAAACUGCGAAACUAGAGGGGUGGUAUUUGAAAAUUUUCCUAUAAAAAAAUGAUCAAAUUGGUAUGAAAUAUUAUCCUUUGGAUAAAAAGAUAUAAAAUUUACACUCUAUUAACAUCACUAUAUGGUGGAGGAGCCCACUUCCUUUCAAAUCUGAGUACAAAUUUGGGUGAAUAAUGCAAAUCAUAACAAAUCAGGGACUGUUUGAAAACUUUUGCUUUAAUUUGAAUUGUGCAUUGUAUCACUAUUUUGAGUAGAUCGAAAAAAUUUAGAAUGAUUGUUAAAUUUAUACGCAGAAUUUUACUAAAAUGAUUUGACAUUUCACGUUAAGAUUUUAUAUAAACUUUAAAUAAAAUGAAUAGUUUUCUCAACUUUAAAAUCAUCAAAAUUGAUUGUCUAUAGGGCAAUUUAUUUAAUUUAUACAAUUAUAUUUUAGUGAGUUAUUACAAUGGUCAUCAGCGAAUUUGUUUUCAUAAAAUUUUAUAAUCAAAUUCCAACGAUCAAUCAAAAAUUUUUGAACUUAUUUGACAUAGUAAUAAAGUACCAGGUUCAAUUUGAAGCAAAAUUUAGUUUUACUUUUUAUUAUUUGGAGGGCUCUUAAUAUAUUUUUUUUCUUUUUCAUUUUACUAAGUUAAGAGUUGAUUUUUGUUUUGUGAAAAUGUACAAAAUUUAUCUGAACUAUAUAACAUUCUUAAUAAGCUAUCCAACAUUUUAGAAUUUUGAUAUUACUACCCGACCUUCCAAUAUAUUUAAUUUUGGUCAAUCAAUGACAUUUUGAUUUCAAAAUUUGAAUGCGCCGUUUAUUUUUAUAUAUUUAAUUAAUAAAUUUUAUAUGAAUCUCGUAGUUAUAAAUCUAUGCAAGUAAGUAAUUAAUUUAAAUUUUAAAGUCAAAAUAUUAUUAACCGAUUCAAAUCAAACAAAUUGAAACGUUGGAUAGGAGAACCAAAAUUUGGAAAACUCGAAUAGUUGAUUCAAAAUGAUGCAAAGUUCAAAUAAUUUCUAUUUGUUUUUACCUUUCUAUUAUGAAACAAUAUUUGGGAUAUGUAUAAUAUGUUUACACGAUCGAUUGUAUCGAGUGCAGAUGAGUAGGAACUUGAUGGUUGGUGCAACAACCCUAUCCGCUAGGAACAAUAACUCGUUGGACCCAACCACUGGCCCGAAAGUUAUUAUUACUAGCGUGUAGGCCUUAUGUAAACUGAUUGGAAUAAAUUCCCCCUGUUUAGAUUCUCUCGGGUCCAAACCAAAUCACAGACAGAUCAUGACCAUUACCAGGCGUUGUGAGAUUUUAGAGGUGGCUCCCACCAAAUCUGUGGCUCCCACCAAAUUCAUUAGUGUAGCACUUUGUCCCGCAUAGCACUUAGCCGGCAGAUAUUCGGCUUUGAUACCAAUUGCAACGACCCCUAGCAACAAUAACUCAUUGGGCACAACCACCGGCCCAAAAUGCUUAACCCCAGUUAUUGUUACUAGCGUGUAGGCCUCAUAUAAACUGAUCGGAAUCAGUAUCCCAUUCGAUGUGAGACUAUUGGGGCGUUACAGUUGGUAUCUGAGAUUCCAAAUUUAAAAUCUAACUACUUUACAUUUCUUGCUUAUUAUAUUUUUAAAAGAAAACAAAGCGGAUAUAAUGCUAACUUUCUCUCUCUUUAUUUUUCUCUCCCUCAAUUUAAAAAGUAAUAAUAUUUAAUAUACUCUUCAAAAUUUUAAAGUUAUCUUAUUUAUUUCCGAUGACCUAAAAUACUCUCAUUGAUUUAAAAUUUUUUCUCAAAUACCCCUCUUUCCUUUAGGGCUUACUAAUGCGAUUUAGUUUUUAGAAGGAUAUUUCAAAAAAAAAUUAUAUGGUUUUAUACGUAAUGUCUAAAAACUCAAUUAACUUGGUAGAGAAUUAAAUCUAAACUAGAGAUUUCGCAGGAUUUGAACUCAGAACCUCAUAUUUUAAUACGAUGUGAAAUUAUAUGAAACAACUAUUUAGAAAAGAACAAUGCUUCGAAUAUUUAUAUUCAACGAUAAAAAUGUCACAUCGAUUUAUCCAUCUAUGAACAAUCCAUAAAAGUAAUAUAGUAAGAAACUCAAAUUCAAUCGUUGAAACUAAUUUGACUUUGAGAAGCGAAUGUGAUACAUUCAAGCGCUACAAAUAAAACAUGUCACGCUUUCAAAUAUGGUACCACUAAACAACUAAUAAUUCAAUUUGCAAUGGCCAUGAACUUCCAUAUAAGACCAAUGAUUCACCACUCUACUCAAAAAGUAGUGAUAAAGACCCAAUAUGACUCCAAAUGUCCUAGAGCUGAGUCACUCCUUUUUGGAAUAUAAAUAUAAACUAGUUAAGGGACCAGCGCGAUGCUACGGGUGGUUAUUUUAAAAUUUAAUUUUAAAAUUAGUUAUAAAAAUUAAUUUCAGAAUUUAAAUGGUGUAAUAAGUACAUUAAAAAAUUUUAGUAGGCAUAGUAGUCCUCCAUUAGUUAGUGAAAUACUUUUAGUAGGUAUCGUAGUCCCCCAGUAGUUAGUGAAUGUGAAGAGAAAUCAUGCUGCGAGUAGUUAUUUUAAAAUUUAAUUUUGAAAAUUAGUUAUAAAAUAAAUGCAGUUAUCUUUCCUAAUGUAAUAAGAAAUAAUUUUUAGUAGGCAUCGUAGUCCCCCAGUAGUUAGUGAAAUAAUUUUUAGUAGGUAUCGUAAUAUUAUAUAUAUAUUAAAUAAAUAUUUAUAUAUAAAUAAAUAAUAUAUAUCAUAAAAUAACAAUAUAUCUAUAUAAUAAUAUAUUAUUAAAUAAAUAAUAUUUUAUAUAUUUAUUUACAAUUUAUUAUAUAUAUAUAUAUAGUAUAUAUAUAGUAUAUAUAUAGUAUUAUAUAUGAGAUCCUAGCUACUAUAACAUUUAUGAUAAUUGCUUACCAUUAUACUCAUAACAGUUUUCGGGCCCUAAUUUAUUCCAUAAUCCAUUUCCACCAUUACGAUCAUACUAGUACAACCAACUACCAGCACUCAUAUCCUAGGGUUGACUACUAUCAAUCUAAGUGGGCGACCACAAACAUCUUAACCACACAUCCAUCAAUACAACGUUAAAAUUUAUGAUACAAGGGGUUCUAUACUCAUAAGAGUAUAUAAUCCCAGUCUAUAUAUAUUAUACUAUAUAUAUACUAAUAUUAUAAUUAUAUAUAUAUAUUAUAUAUAUAAAAAGAGUGGAGAGAAGAGAAUGAAGGACGUCCACCGUGACCUCCCUGCUCAUGUGGUGCCACGAGCCACUUGGUCCGGAUCCCGUGCAACCUCACCACCCAAGACCGCGAUAUUUUAGGCUCUGCGCAACCCGCGCCGCGCCCGAUUGCAGCACCCCGCCCCGCCCCGCCCCUCGCCGGCCCCGCCCUCCAGCCCCGCGUGCACCGCCGGAGCGACCCCCGCCCAGCCCCAUAGCCGCCCCGCGCCCGCUCCACCUCGCGCUCCCGACCCCGCCCCGCCGGCUACUACCCGCCGCCGGCCGUGCAUCGCGCGCGCGCGACGCCCUGCGCUGUGCUCCCGCGCGGCCUACUCUGCGACACGUGUGCAGUUAUUGAGGAAUAAUAUAUAGUUAUAGAUUAUAGAUUAUAGAUUAUAGAUUAUAGAUAUUUUUAAUAAAAAAGAGUACACUACAAAAAAAAAAAAAAACGAUAUAUAUCGAUACAUUUAAAUAUCAAUACAGAUAAAAAAAAAUAUUAUUGGCUAAAUUUCUCACGCCCUUUUAAAAGUGUUGCUAUAUGUGGGGUUAUUAUAAGUAGGGUCGCCUUGAUACUUAUCACCCACUCCUCCAAUGACUUGUGGCGGAGAGAUAUGCGGCGAUCGUAACCCUCUAUGGUCCCUGCGAGAUCCUCGCGGCCGAACUCCAGCCGCUGGAACCCUAUCUCGUCGGCUCCCGUGGCGGAGGAGGAAAAGGGGAGAUGGUGAUUAUUAUUUUUUUCUUUUUUUAUUUAAAAUCGGGCUGAGUGAACUGGAUGUUGUCGAUUGAGUAGAAGAACUUUUUAUUUUUGAUCGGAUUGAGCUUUAUAUUUAGACCUCAGUAGAUUUCUUAACAAAAUUUUGGCAUAAAUAGGACAUUUAUAUAAAAGUGUUCCAAAAAUGUGACCUUAUAAUCUAAUUCUGUUGUAGUGGUAAAAAAGACUAAUAUAAAUGUUUAUAAUUUAAAAUUAUUUUUUUGACUUAAUUAUUUAUUUGUUUUGUUUUCAUAUAUUAACAUUUAAAUUAAAAAAAUAUUGUUUUUGACUCUUUGAGCUAUUCCUUGGCUUUUUUGUUGGCUUCAUUAAAUAAAUAUAAAGAUUUAUUUUCCGCCCAUUAACUGUUAAUAGCUAACUAAUUGAAUUAUGAAAUUUUAUUAAACUUUAAGCCUAAUAAAUAUCAAAACUAAAAUUAAAAAAUUAGAAGUUGAGGAAUAAGUUGAUGGUCUAUUUCAAAAUAAAAAUAUAAUAUAUAUUGCAUCAAUCAAACUAUAACAAAAAAAAAUGUAAUAUUUCAAAAACUAGAAUUAGUUGAAGAAUAUUAAUUAUAAAAAAUUUAUUAUUUAUUAUAUGUAUAAAACUGAUUUAUUAAAAAAAUUUUAGCUCGUGUGUUAUUACCCUUUAUUUUAGGGUUUUGCUACUGACUACGUUAGAUUCCAAAUUUCUAAAAACAAACCUAACAAUUUAAUGCCCAAGACUAUUUUGGUACAAAGUGUGAUGCUUGCACAGUAGCACAAGCUCAUGGCCUACUAAACUACUCUCUCUCUCUCUCUCUCUCUCUAUAUAUAUAUUCAUUUUCAGCUGUUCAUUUUUAUAUCCAUUCAAUGAAUAAGAAACAAUAUCGAAAAUGUAUGAAAUUUGAUUUCUAAACACUUCAAAUGGUAUAGAACAUGUUCAACGGUGCCGAUCGUCAAUUUGGAGGCUCUAUCAUCGAAAACAAAUUGGUGACAAUGGAGCCCGUUUGCUAUCGAUAGUAUUCUAGCUCAACUCUAUAUAUAUAUAUAUAUAGAGAGAGAGAGAGAGAGAGAGAGAGAGAGAGAGAGAGAGAGAGAGAGAGAGANAGCUUUUGGAUCAACUCUUUUCAUUAUUUCUAACUAUUGGAUUAAAUACUAUAACCCAGUGGGAAUCACUCAACCCUAGGGGGACAACUCAACUCUAACCGACUAAUAUCAUCCUGACCCUAUAAUUUUUUAUCCAAAGGUUAAAAACUUGAUAGCAAAAAGAGCGGUUUACUAUUAAUAAUAUUCCAGCCUAAUUCUAUAUAUAUAUAUAUAUAUAUAUGAGCUAGUCUCCGAUACUAUCUAUAGUACCGGGACUCCGGUACUAUAGUCUCGUUUUCGAUGUUAGGGUGUUCAAAUCAACGAUCCACAUCGUUAAAACUGAUUUAUGGUAUUUAAAGUUUUUAGAAAUAAAAUUUUAUAUUUUUUCGACAUAGUUUACUUUAUAAUCAAACCAUUUCAAAAUUGUCAAUUUUCAAUGGUUACUAUAGCUAGUUUGGAGUUUAACGAUGUAGAAGAAUCUAAAUUUCUUCAAAUUUUGAUAGAAAAUAUUUUAAACUAUUUAGAUUAAGGUUAACAUUCUUAUCUUGAAUUUAAAAGUUCUAUACUCAAAUUUUAAAGAUUAUUCAAUUUUCACCGUCCAUUUUGACAUAAUUUAUUUACUAAGUAAACGAUGUCGAAAAAAAUUAAAAUUUUAUUCCUAAAAACUUCAUAUACCCUAGAUCAUAUUUAACGGUGUGGAUCGUUAAUUUAAACACCCUAAGAUCGAAAACAAGACUAUAGUAUCUGAGCAUCGGUACUAUAGAUAGUAUAGUAGCCUAAUUCUCUCUCUCUCUCUCUCUCUCUCUCUAUAUAUAUAUAUAUAUAUUAUUGUUUGCGCUUGUUGUAUUCGUAUAUCUCAUGCACCACACUUAAUUUUUGAUGAUUAGUAUUUAGAAAUUAAAAUCAAAUUGGAUAAAUAUGAGCUAUACCAUUAAAAAGUUAAAAGGUUUGAAAAUCUAUUACUAGGGCAUUGAGCAGUCUCAAUAAUUAACAGCAGAAGAAAAAGGCUAUUAUUUGAUUUGUGGGAACCGAUUUUUUCAAAAUUUUUUGAUUUUUUUAGAAGAAUUUUGAUUUUGAAGACAUCGAUCGUGGAUAGGGAUGCAAAUUAAUCCAGAUUGCUGAAGCUUCCACCUCCAUCUGCCCUAAAUUAGGUGGAACAUGAGGGCCGAAAAUAAGAGAAAAAAAGAAAUUAAUCCACUCUAAAUCUAUUCUGAUUUGCUAAGUAAACGAAAGGAGGUCAGAAAUCUCUUUCUUUCUUUGAACUAUUCUGAUCCGUCAAAAAUUCAUAAAAAGAAUUCAUGCCCGUCUAGGUUCAUGCUGAAUCGAGCAGUAAGUAGGGGCGAAAAAUAGAAUACAAACUGUAACGGCCCGAAUUAUCAGGCGAUAUGAGAUUCUAGAUGUGGAUCCUACGGGUUCAAGAGGUGGCUCCCACCAAAUCCGUUGGUAUAGUAUUUUGCGCCAUAUACCAUUUAGCUCCCACACCUUCAGCUGGUAUUCGUCUCUGUUACCAACUAUAACGAUCCAAUCUGUUAGCAACAAUAAUCCGUUGGGUCCGAACUACCGGUCCAAAAUAUUUAAGUCCAGCUAUUAUUAUUAGCGUGUAAGUCUCAUAUAUUCUAAUCAGAAUCAGUUUUUCACCUAAUGUGGGAUUAUUGGGACGUUACAACAACUCACACCGUCUGAACGUGUCCCGAUGGGAUAAGAAAUGGGGGCGGGAGUUGUUCCCCGGAACAACUCCGGUCCCGCCCCUCGAUCCACCCCGUUGGCAUCCCUGCUUCAGACGGUACUGUUUAUAAAAUAAAAAUCUCCUACUGCGUGUCUUUGAGUUUUGAAUUAUGUGGACAGGAUGAUGAGUGGACUCACCAGAAGAAUCCAAGACAGCAGGACCUCACAUGAAAGAGAAAGGUACAGUUGAGGGGUCGUUUUUAGACAACAACCCAAAUAGGAAAUUGCGCAUGCAAUUUUUAUAAUACUAAUAAUAUAUACAAAUAAACACCCCAAUUUGUGGAAAUUAUUCCAUGCAUGGACCUGGUCCGCCACGUCAGCGGUGAAUCUGUCGGCACUGUCGGGUCGAAAAGAGUUGCAACGGAAGCAUACAGAGAUACACAGAAAAUAUACUUUUUCUAUUUUUCGAUUCUAUGCUUUUUGAAACCACCACUGCUGACACUGAAUUUCGGCUGUGGGAUAGAAAGCGUGGAAGGUGAUAUUAAUCAUUUGCUGUUUGAUAAGAGAUAUACAUCUCUAAGUUUUCGAACUUGGUUGAAAUUAUCGUGAAUCAGUUUUAGGUUUGGUCAGCGAUUAUAUUACUAAACAAAAUAAAAUUAAAGUUUAGUAGAUACUUGAGCGGUCCACGGCGAAUGUGGUGGACCAAGUCUAGGCAAUAAUUUCUCCAUUAUUUGGCACUAUGGGUAACUAUUGAGGCCUGUCUCCUGCAACAAAUUAAUUGUCUCUUCCCACCAAACUUAGACAACAUAUUAUCUAUAAAAAUUAGUUUAAUGCUGAUUAAAAACAUUUGAAUCUCAAAAUGAUCUAUUACUUCACCCAAUAUAUAGCAAGAUCUUUGACUACCCACUGUAUCUAAGGCAUGUUCAAAAUUCAAAACCUAAUUGCUUCAUAUUUUUAGCUUAGUUCAUUUCAGAACAAAGCAAAUAAUUUGCCAUCUCUCUCUCUCUCAAAAAAAGAAAUAUUUGACUAUAAAAAGAAGGUUAGUUAAGGCUAUGAAAACAAAAGAGGCAAUUGUUUAUAUACCUCUGAAAAGUUCACGACUUUUUGAUUUACCCUUUUAGGCUUCGUUCGGGAUUGCAGAAAGAUUGCGUUACGUGCGGUAAGAAAGUACGUUGAAAAAAUACUCUGUUUAUUUUCGUACGUAAUAUUGCAUUUCGCAUAUCGCGAUGAGUCAGUUACGAUAUAUUUUCUGCGGUCCCAUCGGGGAAUGCAGAAGUAUAUCCCUAUAUGCUUUUUUUCCAACUCCAUUUUAUCUAAUAGCGUUUGAUAGGCCUCAAUACCAAACUAAGCCUUAGAAGGUUAAUAUUAAAAAUACCCUUUUUACCCCUAGAGUUAAAUUUUGUUAAUAAACUGUUAGCAACAGCUGUUAUCUCUAUAAAAUUACUAUUUUGCCCUUUUAAAUAUACCCUUCUACUAUCACCAACAUUUCUUAUUUGUCCUUAAAGUCAGAGUAUAAAAGGUAUUUUAAUUUUUGGUCUUUUCAAAUAUACUAUUCUACUAUCACCAAUAUUUUUUAUUUGCUCUUAAGUUAAGGGUAAAAGAGACAUUUUGAUUUUUUUUUAACUCUGGUAGGUAUCUAACUCACGUUUAACCCAAGUUAACUUAACGAGUGGUAACUGCAAAGCUAUUUUAGAAUGACGGAGGAACAUAAGAGGGAUAUAUUGAAAAGAAAAAAAAAAGUAGAGGCAAAUAAGAUAUUUUCGAAGUUUCGUGAGUUAUAUAGACAAUUAUCCCAAAACAAAAAUAUAGAAAUGCUUCUGCAACUAUACAUCAACAUAUGCCGACCGUACCUAGCACAGUUGGCUAUAGACUUGAUGAUUGAUACAUGAAAUCUUAAAUUUAAAGCCUAGUUAUUUUACAUUUCUAGCUGAAUUCAUCUAUAAAUAAUAAACAAAGCAGGUAACUUGCAUUCUCUCUCUCUCUCUCUCUAAAAAAACAAAAAAACAAAAAAAAAAAAAACACUAUCCAUCAAUAGAAAACUCUACUAGAGUCGAGCAAUCUAUGGAAAUAUACGGUCACCUCCUACUACAGCAAAUGUUGGGUGGCAUCAGAACAAGAAAAUAUGCAUUAAUAACGUAAUACUUUUCGUUAAGUAAAUAAUGAAGUUCAUGCAUGGCGAAAAAGAUCGAAAAUCGCGAUUAGUUAGAGAUUACCUUUGCCAGUGUAAGCAUCAAUAAAAAUGGUUGGAACCUCACUUCCAUUUUGUCCAAAUCAGUGCAUAUUUUUGAAAUGAGGAACUAACAUUAAUGACCCUUUAACUUACUCCUAACAACCCUCUUAAAGAGACUAUGAUAUAAUUGACAUUUUCUAAUAUUUCGGAGAUUUUCAAAAUCAAAUUAAAUGCAAGAAUUAUUCGGUGGAAUUCGCUACGUAAUUUCUAAUUCAUGUGGGAAAGGUGUGGUAAAAUUCGAACAAAAGGUAGGAAAUUAAUAAGCACAAAACUUUAGUUUUCGUCGGUAUCGGAAUAAAAGGUUUUGAGUUCAAAUAAAGAUCAUAUUGAGUCAUAAUUUGAUUGAAUUCAAAGUCCACAUAUAAGUGGUCGUUUGGUUAAAUAUAAUUAUAAAUACGGUAUAAUUGGAUAUGAAUGAAACUGAAAAUAUAGUAAUUAUAACUACAGCAUCCUAUUUGGUUGGAUGUGCUGUAAUUAUAAAUAAUUUGUUUAAUUGUAUGCAGUUGAGAAAUAAUUUUUAAAAUUUUAUCAUUUUAUAUAUAUAAUGGUGAAAUUACCUCCAAUGUAAAUAUAUAUAUAUAUAUUGUUUAAAAAAUAAUUAGGAAGGUAAGCUAACCAUUUGGUUUAAGUUACUUUCUCCAAUUACUGAAGUUGGAACUGCGAACAAUUUGAGCGUAGUUCCAACUACUGUAGUUGGACCUCCUCCUGCAGUUUUUACUGCAGCAGUUAGAAUUAAAUAAUCAAAUUAAAUACGAAUUUGUAUUUACAUGCAGUUACAACUGCAGUGUAAUUGCAACUACGUGCAACUAAACACCCCCUAAGUUAAAGACAUUAAAUGUUUUUCAUAAGGAGGGUAAAAUACAAAUUUUCACAUUAGAAGGUUAUUUCAUGAUUGGAACCAUUAAUACUCCAAAGCAUCUUUCUUUUUUUUUGAAAUAAUAAGUUACAUGAUAAUGCUUUAGAUCAUUGGAGUGUUGACUUAAGUAGAUGUUGUGUGACAUCACCAUGCAACUAAUAAUUUGCUCUACACUCUACAACUAUGAUUAAUUAAUAAUUUGAUCUUGUGUGGCAUCACCAUUCCCACAUCCUAAAGUUAGUAUGAAAUUAAAGAAAUAGGCAUAAGGUGGGUGUAACUCUUAUCCAUUUUAAAUGAAAAAGAAUAUCCACAUAGCUUAUUUUAAUCUAAAAGAGUAAGAACAAGGCCAAAGAAUAGGGAAAAAAGUAGCUAAUAGCAUGACAUGACUUAAUCUUUAAAUCUACAUUAACAAAUCAACAUAAUAUUAUAAUAUUAAGAUGCUUUUUCUAAGAAGAAAAAUAUUAUAAUAUUAAGAUGCUUUUUCUAAGAAGAAAAAUAAUUAUGUCAAAUCUUGAAAGAAAUAUGAUGUUUGUUGGUACAUGAAAAAGAAGUGGGUAAAAGAAAAUCUGUGACAACAUUAUUGUGUUUUCUUCUUUAUCAACCUUUUUGGAAGGAAACUUGUGGAUUCAAUUUAGACAAAGCUUAUCAAUAUUCUCCAAUUAUUCCAAACAAUAUAGGUGAGAAUGGCUAAAUUACAGAAAAUCUCCUUAUAAAUAUUAAUUUUUUUCAUUUUCCCUCCCUAAUUUUCAAAAUCCUAUAUUUUACCCCUCAAUAUUUUAAAUUAUCAUAUUUAGCCCCCUCGGUCAGGGUUCCAUCACUAUUCCGUCUAUUUUUAUAAUUUAUAUUGAAAAUAUCCUUCAAAAUGAUAAAAAUAUAUUAAAAAUAUUUUUUUUUCGUUAUAGAAAAAGUAAAAGUAAUUUGGUCAUUUUAUCUUUUCCAUUAACGCCGUGCCCCCGAAGGCAUUUCUGAAACUUUAAGAUAGCAAAAUAUAGGUUUUUAAAAGUCAGAGAGGAAAAGUAAAAAAAGCGGAUAUUUUCGAAAAGAUUUUCUAUUAUUUAGCCAAAAAAAAAAAAGCUAAUAUUGGAUACAACUAUUAAAAACACAGUUUUCUGACUGAGUUAAACUUUUAUACCAAGUCCCUAAUCUCACUUAAUUUCCAUUCACAUCUUGGGUCUGUUACAAAGUCUCUAGCAUUCUCUAAUCUUUUGAGCUUUCAAAGAUAUAAUAACAGUUGUGUCACAUUAAUUAACAGAUAAAAAUGCAAAAUUAAAAGGGCAGCUGAGAAAACAAGGGGGUCAUGAUUCCUAGAUAUUGUCAUAGAGGUAGGAGAGAUGGUUGUGUAACUUGAAAGCUACUCUGUCCCCUUCCUAAAAUGCACAAUCAAAUGCAACCACCCAAAAAAAAAAAAAAAAAAAAAAAAAAAAAAAAAAAAAAAAGGGUUGUGAGAAGUUGAAGUAGAUAGAGCAACACAAAAUGGGGCAAAAAAUUGUACAUAAUUUUCAUUAGAGCUAGCUCAGAAGAUGACAAAUGCUAUUCAUUGAAUGUGGGUCACCUCAGCAAACAAACAUGAUUACAUAUACUAUGCACAAAUCAUAAAAUUAGAAAGAAACAAUGAGUGUACAUAUGGUAGACAAAUCAUAAAUAUCUUGAUGUGUACCUCUUUAACUUUUGAUUGCUUUUGAAUUUUAGUAAGUUUAAACAAGUAAUUUGGAAAAUUAUUAAAUUCACAAAUUGUUCGAUCGAUCAAAUUAAAUGCGUUUAAUAACAUUCCUAACUUAAUUAACUAGAUUACUUCAGAUUAAAAAAAAAUUAGAAGUUGAGGUUGUGUCAAUGAAAAAGACUAAAAAAAAGAAAAGUUGACAGGCCUAUUUCACAAUACCCUACAUCUAUGAUGGUUCCCUUCAUAUAAAACAGAGGUAGUUAAAAAUACAAAAGCAUCAACUCAAUCAACACCAACAACAACAGUGAUGUAAUUGUAAUGGGAAUCAACUACACAAAUUGGAUUUUUUUUAGGAAUUGUUUAUUUGACUUAUUGUCAUUUAGUUAUCUAUCCCAUUUAGUAAUAAUGAAACUCCCAAAUUUUAAAUCUUCAUAAAUUAAAACAUCACUAAGAUUAAAACAUGUGUAAAAAUCAAUUAGAUUUUCGAAAAAUUAGCAUUCAUAUUGCAAGAAAUUACAAUUUAUUAAAAGCUCAGGAACUAAGCCAUAAAUUUUGCUCCUUACCAUGCUCAAUAUCUUCUAUGGUGGAUCCUCUUCACAUUAGCCUUUUGCACAAACCUGGAAGUGUGAGUUACCUUAAUGUUAUGAAGUGCACUACUCACAUGCCCAUGAUGAUGCUUUAAUCCUUGAUCAUUCUCAUUCAUAUAAAUCGAACGCCGACUAAUCCCGACCCUAAUCCGAUGGCUUCGCGGCCUUAAAGAUCUGUCCAAGUAGAUCCUUCUUCUGUCUCUCGACCUCUUAGAGAGAGUUCUUCUCAAUUCUGUUGAUCUCGGCACGCGCGAAUACGAUAUUCUCUCUUCCAAGUCGUCGUCGCUCGAAGUAUCAUAGUAGUCUUCGAGAUAUCUUUUACGUUCCUCCCGCGAUUGCUUCAAGUUCUUGAGCUUAAACCAAGCUAACAUGGACACAUAUUCGCAGGAUGAGAAGCAUGAGACAAUGCAUGACCAUAGCAUUUUGCACAUUCCCUUGCUGAUGCAGCCGCAGAUUCCAAUUUUAUAUAAGAGGUAGAUGAAUAACAGCACUGCGAAAAUGCAGGCAAAGAAAAUAUGUAAGUUGAAAUCAAAUUGAUUAUGAUAUGAGAACUCAAUGCGUUUUAUACUUAACCGAUGUAAAGAAGAACCAAUACAGCGACCAUCUUCACAAGAUUUGCGACGCAGAAGUUCUCUAUGUAACAUAUCAGAUCCCAUGUCGCAGCGCAAACUGAGCUGGUACAAUGCAAAUGAAGCAUAUUUGUUAUAUAAAACUGUUUUGCAAACAAUUAACAUGAUUAGUUUACUAUUUUGGCCUUCUCAUGUUAGAACUAUAUAUGUACUAAGAUGCGGUACAAUCAGAUUUUAAAUGAAUCAUACAAUUCAAAUCAAAAGCAUCAAGUUUUACCUGCAAGACUUGCCAGAAAGAAAGUCCAAUGGCGCUCCAAAUAAGUCGCCGAUGACUUUUGUGAAGCCCGCGAUUAACGAACCAACAAUGCUUCCCAUAGAAUCGAUUUCCGUUAUUAUGUAGCUGCAGAAUUAUUUAGCAACUCAAGACAUGAUAAUUAAAGAUAUGGCAAAAUAAAGAGAAUCAACACAAAUAAUUCAAUUCAGGGUAAGAAAGAGAAGCUACAAUGUUGUUCCUUUUUUCCUAAAGUAGAUUGCUUUAUCAACAAAACUACAUGACAAAUUGUGUAAUUAUUUGAAAUGAAUCAAUUUUAUUAUCUCAGAAUGCUCCAAACAUCAAAAACUAAAUUAGCAUCACAAGUUUAAGUUUGAUGAGUAUAUGGUAAGUGAGUGGACUUCCAAAAAUCUUUAAUCAAGUUUAUCGAAAGGUGCGAGGAGGACAAUUAGAUGAUCUAGUAACAAUUUCAAAAUGUACUUAUUUGUGCUGUAUCCCCGUGAUUCUUACGAAAACAAACGAGAAGGAAAAAGAAAAAUGAUUACAAUCUCUGAUCACUAAAUUUUGAUUAUUGAUGUAAUCUCAUGCUCGAUCUGGCAAGAGUAAAGGACUAGUUAAAAUCAAGCAAAAUAUGUACUAAUUACAUUCAAAAAGUCAAACUUUAUCGCAAUAGGCGAAACAAUUUAUUCUCCUGAUCGUAAAAAUUUAAAACUCAACUACAUUGUUUCUUGUUGCUUCAGAUAAAAAGUGCUCGAUUUAUUUCCUAUCCCUGCUAAGCAUUUCAUCAAACAUCUUAAAGGCAAAGUGCGGGCGCAGGAAAAAAAAAAAGGCCAUAACUUGCAUUUGAUACUACAUCAAAUCACAACAAGUGUAAAAUAAAGUGAUGCAACCAAUAAAAUUUCUCAAAAAAAUUGCUUCUUUUUUUCUUAUUUGAGAACUUAAAUACGCAUUAAUCACUCAACAAAAUUUGAGUGAUGCUUAAUCACUCAACAAUGUUUCAAAAGGAGACAAAUAUCAUGGAAAUGGGGGGAAAAAAACUGACCCAAAAAUUCAUGUGGAGAUGCUCCCCAACGGAGACUUUUGCAAUAGAGAUGAGAAUAAAUCUGAUUAGAUAAAAAAAAAAAAAAAAAGGAUUAGAGUUUUCGCUUUGCAAUCGUUUUGGUUUUCUUUUUUCUUUGAAAAUCUAGCGUUGUUUCUCUUCGGAGUCGUAUAAAAGGGUUUUGGAGAGGGGGAAAGGGAAUCAAUUUAUGUAACCGACUCUUCCUCCAACGGUCGAUUUAAUUUAAAGGUAUCCGUUAGAUUAGUCGAGCCCCGCGAUCUCGGCGGUCCAUCUAAUGGCACUGAUGAUGUAACUGUUCCGUUAGUUUUCCUUUUUAAUUUUUUUUUUUUUAUGGUUUUUUUAAAAGGUUUGUAGGUUCUCAUAUAUGUAGAUGUUAAUCACACAAUUAUGACUUGAAUUUGAGACCUACUGCUUCGAAAGAGUAUCUUCGAAAGAGUACCUACCAACUAAACUAUCAGUUAAUGAUUAAAAUUUUAUACUUUAAAAAGCGUUAACCGACGCUGUAACCUAGAGUUUAGCGCUCACUUACGAGCCCGAAUUGCAGGAAAAAAAGUUCUUGUGCGUGCGCGGUGUCUAGGUUUUCACCGUGCUUCUGAAUCAUUUAAUUUUUCAGUACUACUUUAAACGCGGAAAAGUUAUUAUAGAAGCGAGACCAAGCAGGCACAAAUAUCAUGCUUUGUGCUAAUCUUUUCAGCCAUUAAGUUGGAGUAGAAAUGCUAUUCCAAAUGUAAAGAACAGAAAUCCUGAUUACAGUAGAAAAUUUUUAUUUAUGUAAAUUAUAGAAAAUUACAAAAAAAGAAAAGAAAGAAAGGGUGUAAAGCUCCAGGACUAUCUAAACUGUUGAGCAAUUUGAGAUUAUAACCGAAACUUAUAAAUCGAUAUAAAACCACAUAAAAAAUAUAGCUUUACUGCAUAUAAUCACAUUGUUCAAAUACAUUCUUCAACUCUGAUCGCGAUAAAUUACCAAAAAGUAAUCCAAAGCCGUCCAAAUUUUAUCAUCUAAACGGUAGUCCAAUACAUUCUUCAACUCGGAGCACAGAUAAAUUGAAGUUACUACAAGAAAAUACAACAAAAACAAGCGCCGUUACCUGUUUUGGUAAGCAGCAACUCUAGUCCCAUCGUAAAUGAGAAAUUGGGUACAAAUUUUUCGCAUCAAGUGAGCCCUUUGUUCUAUACUUGGUGUUGAUUGUUACUAGGAGCAAUUUGCUUUGAUAGCGAGUGUUUUGGUAAUUCCAGGGCAUAAAUCUCUUCCGAAGUGAUCUUCUGACAGUGAAACGGUACAGCUACUUGCAUGUAAACAAGCCUGCCAGUGUAGCAAAAAGACGUUACACAAUAAUACAGAUGGCCCAGGAAAAGUAAAAUUUAUUUCUCAAACAUGGGUUUCACAAGUUACAUUUAAACAUGAUCCUUCGGUCAAUUGAGUUAUGUAAUUUAUGUUAUAUACCGCCGAUAGGCUCAAGUCAUGUAGAUUGAGUGCCUGGUAGGCUAGUCUGGAAGAUAUGCAGAAGUGCUGUAGAUUAUAGCUGUUCGGAAGAACAGUAUCAAGUUUUCCAUUGGUAUUGUAUCCAAAAGCAGAAGCUUCAAAUCUGAGCUUCUAAUCUCAUUUCAACUUUGUACAAUAACAAAAAAGCUCCGGGAACAAAAAGCUCCGGGCCUAUUGUUUUCCAAACACAUAAAGACUAUAUUUCAAAGUCGAAAAGUUGCUCCAGGAGCUAAGCCAAACAAAACAAGCAAUAAAGAGUAAUUUAGCAGAAAACAGUAGUGGCAGAUAAUUAACUUCCUAUCUGAAGUUUCUAUUCGACAAAAUGUUUACCUUUUCGACUACAGAAAGAGAAUCGGGAUAAUGGCAACUUCCUUGUUGGUAGGAUCUGCAUGCUCCAUAAGGGUUUCCGAAGCUCGCGAAUGUGAUCGAAGAUAUAACAGUGCCGUCAGUGCAGUUCAAGCUUACUUUGGCCACGGCACUAUCAGACUCUGUCUUGCUCUUGUCCCAAGAUUCUAAGGCUUUUGAAGGAUAGUCCUCCGAGAUAUAACCACAAACGCCAGUCACGCGUCUUCUCGCAAAUGUGAUCUUUGUCGGAUCCCCGCCUUUCUCUUCAAAUAUCACAAGUGUAUUUCCUGAUGGCUGGAACCAAGAUCGUGGGACAUGAUACCUGGCCCAAGAAGAACACUAAUGAAACUGUAGAAGAAUUUAAUCUGUGCAUCUUUGCAUAUAUAACUUACAAAAAGCAUGUUUUUGUGUGUAGAUUGAUCAACAGUUACAUUUACCAGUAUACUGGCAUAGAAAGCCCAUACUUGCAUGCAUACCCCAUUAAAAUUGCAAUUUGCACCUAAACUAGCCAAUAUUUGUAAGGAAAAUUUUAAAAUAAUAUAUUUUGUUUAUUGUUUUAGUGAAUGGAUGUGAUUCUUCGUGAAAGGAUGCAAUCCUUAGUGAAUGGAUGCAACUCUUAGUGAAUGGAUGCAACCCUUAGUGAGUGGAUGCAACUCUAAUCAAAGGGUAUGACUCUUAAAGUGAAAGGAUGUGACUUUUAGUGAAAGAAUAUGAUAUGAAAAGACACAUCUUUAUAGUGUGUCUCUUCGUACAUAUGCCCGUUGGAAUCAAUGGUUAUAUUCAUUGAACUUGAUUCAUAUAACUAUUUGGUAGUUAUGAUCAAAUGAAAAGUCACAAUCGAAAGGUCACUUCACGAAACACCCUUUCGUGAAUAGUUACUUCAUGAAGCACCCGUUCGUGGCCUAUAUAAGUCCAUAGCAUUGGUUGCAGAAGGAGACAGACAGAAAACAGUUGAAGAGUUGAAGUCUUCAUUCAUAAUAAUUCCAUUCUUGUUUUAUAUUCUAUUUCUUUUGACAACUUAAUCGAGUGAGUGCUCAAAGGCUCGACUUCGUGUGUGCAAACGCAGUUGAGGUUUACGCUUCAUUGUAUCCUGGGAGGUUGUUCGUUGACCCGGUGCACACCAAAUUGUUAGAACGGUGGGGACGGAUUAAGCCUUAAGGAAAGUGGCAUUGCUACACGCCUUGAAGCCUUUUUAAUCUUUCUAUUUCAUACCUUUAUCACAAUCUGUUCCAACAAUCUUAAGGCUUAAAACCGAAAAUGUCGACUGCUACUCUACGAGAGAUGGCAACAAACUUUAUGAGACUAGAAAGAUUUGAUGGCAUGGACUUCAGACGCUGGCAGAAGAAAUUAUUUUUCCUUCUGUCGACUCUCAAAGUUGCUUAUGUCCUCACUACUCCAAGACCAGAAGAAAACGAUGAUGAACCUGUUGCACAAACUCGUACAAGACAAAAAUGGGAUGAAGAUGACAAUAUAUGCCGAGGCAAUAUUCUAAAUGCUAUGUCGGAUGCGCUUUUCGACGUCUAUCAAAAUGUGAAAACGGCUAAAGAACUGUGGGAAGGCCUUGAAGAAAAAUACAAAUCCGAGGAUGCCACAAGUAAGAAGUUUCUUGUUAGCAAAUUUAAUAACUAUAAAAUGGUUGAUAGUAGAUCUGUUCUAGAUCAAUUACAUGAAAUUCAACAUAUUCUCAAUCAAUUUACUCAACAUAAUAUGAAUAUGGAUGAAUCUAUAAUUGUGGCCUCUAUAAUCGAUAAACUUCCUCCAUCAUGGAAAGACUUUAAGAAAAGUCUUAAACAUAGAAAGGAAGAGAUUACUCUUAAAGAUUUGGCUAACCAUCUUCGCAUAGAAGAAGAAUAUCGUUUGCAAGAUAGCAAAAAGGAGCAAGAUGCUCAGAGUGCCAAAGUGUAUGUGACGGAAGAUGAGUAUAGUAAAACCCGUCAACCCACAAAAGAAAAUCGAAAGAGAGCUAAGCAUCCGAUCAACCACAACAUGACAAAUAAGAAAAAGAAAGGUGCAUGCUUUCAUUGUGGUAAACCAGGCCACUACAAGAAAGAAUGUCGGUUCCUCAAAAAGGAAAGUGCACCGGAUUCCAAAAGAAAUUUUGUGGCUAUGAUAUCCGAGGCUAAUAUACUCGAAGAUGACGGAGCUUGGUGGAUUGAUUCGGGUUCCACAAGGCAUGUGUGCAAGGAUAAAAGUUUAUUCAAAACUUAUGAUGCAUUGGAGGAUGGAAACGUUCUCUAUAUGGGCAAUUCUUCAACAGCACAAAUCAAAGGAAAGGGCAAGGUGGAACUCGAGUUCACAUCAGGAAAAACUCUCACUCUCACCGAUGUGUAUCAUGUACCUGAAGUUAGGAAGAAUCUUAUUUCAGGAAGUCUUCUUAACAAAUUUGGGUUCAAACUUGUAUUUGAGGCCGACAAAUUUAUUUUGUCGAAGGGUGGAAUCUUUGUGGGAAAAGGAUAUUUGUAUGAGGGCAUGUUCAAACUCAAUCUUAUUAAUAAAAUAAAUAUUUCAGCCUAUAUUAUUGACUCUUCUUCUUUAUGGCAUAAUCGUUUAGGACAUGUUAAUUAUAGAAAAUUACAAGAUAUGGCUAAGUUAGAGUUAAUUCCUAAUUUUGAUAAUAAAUUAGAAAAAUGUAAUACUUGCAUGCUCACUAAAAUUACUAGAAAGUCUUUUCCUAAAAUUGAUAGAUGUUCUAAUCUACUUGAGUUGGUACAUAGUGAUGUUUGUGACUUGCAUGCUUCUCCUUCUAUUGGUGGAAAGAAAUAUUUUGUUACAUUUAUUGAUGAUUUUUCUAGAUAUAGUUAUGUUUAUCUUUUGCAUUCUAAAAAUGAAGCGCUAGAUAAAUUUAGAAUUUAUAAAUCUGAAGUUGAGGUGAAAUGUGAGAAAAUGGUCAAAUGCCUAAGAACAGACAGAGGAGGAGAAUAUUAUGAUCCUUCAUUUUUUGAGUCCAUUGGUAUUAUACAUGAAACCUCUGCACCUUAUACUCCACAACAAAACGGAGUUGCAGAAAGAAAAAAUAGAACAUUAAUGGAAAUGGUCAAUGCUAUGCUUUCUAACUCUGGGUUAAGUUAUGGAUUUUGGGGCGAAGCUUUAUUAACAGCUUGCCAUCUACUAAAUAGAAUCCCAACAAAAAAGAAUGAUAAAACUCCUUAUGAAUUAUUCAAGGGAAGAAAGCCCAAUUUAAAUUAUUUAAAAGUUUGGGGUUGUAGAGCUAUUGUGAGGGUUCCAGAACCGAAAAGAAAGAAACUGGGUGAAAGAGGAAUUGAGUGCAUAUUUAUUGGGUAUGCACAACAUAGUAAAGCAUACAGAUUUUACGUGAUUGAAUCUAAUGACUUCAUUGAGAUCAACACAGUUUUUGAAUCUAAAGAUGCUAUAUUUGAUGAAAACAGAUUUGUAUCAAUUCCUAGACCCAAAGAACUUAUUGUGAGUAAAGAACACUCCAAUGAGAAAAAUGAUGUUGCAAUUGAAACCCCAGAACUUAGAAGGAGUAAAAGAGUUAGAAUUGCUAAAACAUUUGGACCAGAUUUUUAUACUUUUCUUGUUGAGGGUAGUAGAGAAAUGAUUACAGAAAGUUUCCAAUUUUGUUUAAACAUUGACUCAGACCCCACAACAUUUGAGGAGGCAAUGAAAUCUCCUGAUGUCGCUUUUUGGAAAGAAGCGAUAAAUGAUGAAAUGGACUCAAUUAUGACAAACCAAACAUGGAAAUUAGUUGAUCUUCCUCCUGGAUGUAAACCUAUUGGGUGUAAAUGGAUUUUCAAAAAGAAAAUCAAUGUAAAUGGCACCAUAGAUAAAUUCAAGGCAAGACUUGUUGCCAAAGGGUUUACACAAAAAGAAGGCAUUGAUUAUUUUGAUACCUAUGCACCUGUUGCCAGAUUAGCGACUAUUAGAACUUUGAUUGCUCUUGCUUCAAUGUAUAAUUUGAUUAUUCAUCAAAUGGAUGUCAAAACAGCAUUCUUAAAUGGAGAAUUAGAUGAAGAAGUUUAUAUGGAACAGCCCGAGGGCUUUGUUGUUCCUGGACAAGAGCACAAAGUGUGUAAACUUAUCAAGUCGUUGUAUGGGCUUAAACAAGCACCUAAACAAUGGCAUCAAAAGUUUGAUCAGAUUGUUCUUUCCAAUGGUUAUAAAAUUAAUCAAUCUGAUAAAUGUGUUUAUAGUAAAUUUUCAAAUGGUAAAGGUGUUAUUAUAUGUCUAUAUGUUGAUGACAUGUUAAUUUUUGGCACCGAUGUUCAGCAAGUAGAAAAUACUAAAAAUUUUUUAUCUUGCAAUUUUGAUAUGAAAGAUAUGGGGGAGGCUGAUAUUAUUUUGGGAAUUAAAAUUAUUCGUGAAAAUAAUGGAUUAUUUUUAACACAGUCUCAUUAUAUCGAAAAGAUUCUUAGAAAAUUUGGUUAUUUUGAUUGUACUCCAGUAUCAACUCCUUUUGAUCCUAAUCUAAAACUAGUUCGUAAUACUGGUAGAUCAAUUAAUCAGUUAGAAUAUUCUAAGAUUAUUGGAAGUUUGAUGUAUGCCAUGUCUUGUACUAGGCCUGAUAUUGCAUUUGCUGUUGGUAAAUUAAGUAGAUUUACUAGCAAUCCAGGUAAUGUACAUUGGCAUGCUAUUUACAGAAUUUUGAAAUAUUUGAAAAAGACAAUGGACUAUGGAAUUUUCUAUAGUGGAUAUCCAACAGUAUUGGAAGGCUAUACAGAUGCCAGUUGGAUAACAGAUCAAGAAGAUCAUGCAUCCACAAGUGGGUGGAUAUUUAUAUUAGGUGGAGGUGCGAUUUCUUGGGGUUCUAAGAAACAGACAUGUAUAGCGGACUCUACCAUGGCAGCAGAAUUUAUAGCACUAGCGUCUGCUAGUAAGGAGGCGGAAUGGAUAAGGAAUUUAUUAUAUGAAAUUCCAGUUUGGCCAAAACCAAUGCCGCCGGUAUCGCUACAUUGCGAUAGUGAAGCUACGCUCUCAAGAGCAUAUAGUCAAACAUACAAUGGGAAGUCAAGACAUAUUGGAUUAAGACAUAGCUAUGUAAAACAACUGAUAUCAGAUGGCAUAAUUACCAUUGAUUUUGUAAGAUCAAACCAAAAUCUUGCGGAUCCGUUGACUAAGGGACUUCCAAGAGAAUUGAUAUUCAGGACAUCGAUGGGGAUGGGUCUCAAGCCCAUAUUACAAAGUCACCAAUGAUGGAAACUCGACUUAACACUUGAAACAUCAUCAAGUCUUAAGUUCAAUGAGCCAAAGUACAUCAUAUGGAGUGAUUGCAAGCACUAUAAUAUAAAAUUUCCAUCCCAAGUAAAGUGCUUGGUAUCCGUAUUGAAAAGGGAAGGUUGAACUAAUAAAGUUCUUAAUAGACCUACAGUAGUAUUUACUGAAGUGUUAAAUACGGGACACUUCUGGUAGAGUCUACCUAUAUGAAUGUGAAGUGUGGCCGCUUCUAGGAGUUAAGGGCUUGACUCUAACAGCAUUCAUGAAACAGGAUGCGGACACAAGGCCAUAAAAGUGUCAGCAAUAAAAUAGAGCACUCGACUGAUUAUAAAUUUCUAUGUGUGAGAUAUGUCCGGUUAGUCGAAAAUAAUUGUUGGUUCAAAGCUUGUCUACCAUUCAAUUAUGACUAACUUUGAUGUGUUUUCACUAAGUGUAGGUUCAAGUUUUAAUACACCUACACCUAUGCAUACGGUUUUGUCAAGUUGUCAAGAAUUUUGAUUUUGAUUUUUGAUUUUGUUUUAUUUUGCUUUUUGAUGUAUUUUUAUGUAUUUUAAAAUUUGGUGGGGAAUUGUAAGGAAAAUUUUAAAAUAAUAUAUUUUGUUUAUUGUUUUUAGUGAAUGGAUGUGAUUCUUCGUGAAAGGAUGCAAUCCUUAGUGAAUGGAUGCAACUCUUAGUGAAUGGAUGCAACCCUUAGUGAGUGGAUGCAACUCUAAUCAAAGGGUAUGACUCUUAGAGUGAAAGGAUGUGACUUUUAGUGAAAGAAUAUGAUAUGAAAAGACACAUCUUUAUAGUGUGUCUCUUCGUACAUAUGCCCGUUGGAAUCAAUGGUUAUAUUCAUUGAACUUGAUUCAUAUAACUAUUUGGUAGUUAUGAUCAAAUGAAAAGUCACAAUCGAAAGGUCACUUCACGAAACACCCUUUCGUGAAUAGUUACUUCAUGAAGCACCCGUUCGUGGCCUAUAUAAGUCCAUAGCAUUGGUUGCAGAAGGAGACAGACAGAAAACAGUUGAAGAGUUGAAGUCUUCAUUCAUAAUAAUUCCAUUCUUGUUUUAUAUUCUAUUUCUUUUGACAACUUAAUCGAGUGAGUGCUCAAAGGCUCGACUUCGUGUGUGCAAACGCAGUUGAGGUUUACGCUUCAUUGUAUCCUGGGAGAUUGUUCGUUGACCCGGUGCACACCAAAUUGUUAGAACGGUGGGGACGGAUUAAGCCUUAAGGAAAGUGGCAUUGCUACACGCCUUGAAGCCUUUUUAUUCUUUCUAUUUCAUACCUUUAUCACAAUCUGUUCCAACAAUAUUGUGUGUACACCCUCCGCUUGAGAGCUUUCACUGUGAAAAGGCGAGUAUUUGGGGUGAAAUUGUAGUUCCCUUGGCGGAAAUAUAGGUUAUUUUACGCUAGCACUUGCCCAUACGAAGAAGGAUUUUGACAUUAGGAAAAGUUGUUAAAGAAGGACAUUUUGUAAAUACAUGGAUAUAAAUGUAACAAAUUAAGUUUGCUAGGAGCACAUGCGAAAAUUCAGAUUUCAUCCGUUUAUGUGUAAGUAGAUGAUUUUCGAGGGCUGUAUAUAUAAACAUCAAAUCAUCAAUAAUACUCGAACUUUAUUAUUUUUCAUCUCCAAAGUUUAGAUUUAUUACCAUCUCUGCGUUGGUCGUCCACAUCCUGUCCUGCAUUUAUCUGGGGAGAAUUUUCCCCUGUAAUUACAACUGGCAGUACACUGAUCAUGUAAGGAGCUCUUUCUGGGCCAAUAUCUUCCUAUGGCUUUGCCAUUUAGCCAAGCUUGGCCUUUUCCCAUAUAUUGCAUGUCGAGCCCAAUAGGGUCAUUCCCUUUUGGAGUUUCCACAUUUACCUUCAAAAUUUUAAAAGACUAUCAUUACCAUAGAAUCUACUAACAGAGGUGAACAAAUCUUUUCACACACACACACACACACACAAAAAGGUAGCCUCUACGUAGUUUUGGAUUUAAUUGAUGGAACUAUUGAGCAAACUGCUAUUAGAAUGAGUACGCUACCUUGUACCAGAUCAGAGGUUGAUCUUUUGGCGGCUUGGGUGAUGGCAUCCACUUAAUAUCAUCUCUACUAUCUGGGUUGAAUAUGCGAUGAUAUUCACCUUCUAAUCCAAUCUGCCAAUUUACCUGAUUAUAUUUCUCUAAAGAUACGAAAACUUUGGACGUUGUUUUAUAUGAAAGUAGAAACUAGCAUUGCACAUAGGCUUGCAAGAAGCCAAAUCGUGUGUACAGAUUUGAAUGCGUCCGUCUUCCUACAAGAAGUUAACUCUUGUAGUGAUGGGAGCACUGCUCAAUUUGUGAGUCAGUUAUACAUCUCACUGUAUAAGUAAAAAAAGAACUAAAAGAAAAACACUUUGUUUAUGUUUCACCAUUUGACUCGUAGCCAUGCUAAAAAUUAAUUUAUUCAUUUAUGGUUAUUAUUUGCUGCCAAGAAGUAGCUCAAGAGCAAGAUGAUUUGGCUAGCACAAUUUUGGAGGCAAAAUUCACGAAAAAAACCUGCCCACCCCCUGUAAGUCUCAAUGCAAGUAUUGAAAUCAAGUUAGCCGUCCCCUACCAAGGGAUAAGUGCUACAGAAAAGCCUGUGCAUACAUCGAAAUAAUAUGCUUUUAAUUAUUCACGACUUUAAGUACAAACUCACAGCUAAAGGUCAUUUUGUACCUUAUAAAUCCACUUAUUUGAAGAUAAGUCCAUGGUUCCAUUUUUCAAACCAUUGAUCUUGACGCUUGUUAAUCCUGCUCCUACCCACUCAUAAAAUGGUCCUGCAUUCUUAAAGAACAAGAGAAAACAUGAAAAAUCUCGGAGAACAAUAAUGUAGCCAUAAGAAAAGAUAUAUUAUUUUAAUAAUGAGCAUAGCCAAUAUAACGUUACGUACCUGGCUUUGGACCAAGGGUUCAAAAUCGGGAUAUUCAAUAAAGAAAUAAUGGAACAUAACUAAUAUAUGCUUAUGUACAUUUUAUAUCCAAAUUAAAUUGUUCAUCUACUAUGCUUGUAUUGCACAAAGAACAGUUCUAAAAUCUGUAUAAGAGGAAGGACAGACAGGACAUGGAAUUGAGGGAGCGAGAAAUGAGUGUUCCUAAAAGCAUGAUCAACUAUUUUGCUAUUACUGUGUUUACACUUGUAUGUUACAAAAAAGUCGAUUUCACUACUGGGCAGCAAGCAAGAUGGCAAAUUCAGAAAGAGGCCAAUCUUGAAAAGAAAGCAAAAAUUGUUUGAUGAUAAAAAGCAUUUAAAGACUCCGAUUAGAUCUCUUUUUGGUUUCCAAGUAGCCAUAGAUAUAUUUAUAAGCAUAGCACAAGUAAAAUCAAUAUUUUAGGAAUUAUAUAAUAUAUAGUGCAUCUGAAUGUAAAUACUUACUUGCAAGCCAACAGUCAUGCUCAGGAAAGCUAGUUCAUUCUUCCCAGCUCUCAGAGAAAUGGGUGUCUCAAGCUUAAAAGUUGAAUCGGAGCCAUUUCCAGACGCACCGGCUAGAAUUAUAAAUUUCAAGAAAAAUAAGCACAACCAUGAUGAUGAUAAAGUGGUUGUUUUAGAUGUUACAAUACUUAAAAGACAAGAACAUACAAAUAUACAAAACAAUCAUUACAAUUUGCGUGUGUGAUUUUUUGAGCCAGGUAAUCACUUAUUUCUUGAAAUCUACAGGUACUUCUCGAGAAAAUAUAAAUGAUGAAUAUUAUUUCCAUAGUGCAGCAUAUAGAGUUCUCUUUUGUUUGGAGGAAGAGAAGUUCUCCUUUUUAGUAAAUAAGUAGGGACAUGCUAGAUGGCAUAUAGUGCAACUCUCUGAACAUUGGUCUUCAAAACUCUGUUACUGCUCUAUAGGUGCAGGACUUCCAUUAAAAUCUCUAAAUAGGGAUUUGUUCAAUCUAUCCAAUGGAAACUAAUUUAAAUGCACGACACCUAAAAUCACCCGAUGGCAUAAUAAAAGAGAACAUUGCACUACACUAUCACAUGAAUUAUGCACAAUUACUUCAACUGAAGUUUCAGUAAACAUAACCAAAAUUCAGACGAUGGAACACAUCUUGCUUCUUUUCUGGCAAUAAAAAACAAAGGAUAAAAGAAGAAUAAAGUAUAAACCUUGAAGUUUCUUAUUUAGAAAAGCAUGGACAGCAUGGCCUUUUGAUUCAACUUUGAGAGUUGGAUGGCUGCCAUCACUCAAGAACUUUUCACUCUCGUCCACAAAAAAACUGCAAAUAUGUAUGAUAUUUCAAGCUAAAUGAGCAUCCAGGAGAGCAAUUGCAAGAUCAUGAUAAAUUUACACUAGAGCAGAAUGCUCACAAAAAAAAGUCUCUGGAGUUUGGAAUUUACUCUGUAAUUUGAGCAAAACAAGGUGGAUAGUAUGGGAGCAACAUUUAGUAGAUAUUAAAGAAAAACCUUUUAUGGUAAGAUAUGCACUGAGAUAUAUUUUUUCCUCAUCUAAAUUAAUAUGUAGAUAUCCUACUCAUGCAAUCCACAUAAAAUUAUUUUCUAAAUUAAUAUGUAGACAUCCUACUCAUGUAGUUGACAUAAAAUUACCCUAUAUAUGUAUAUAUAUGAGUAGGACUUUGUGCUAUUAGGAGCACAGAGGCCUCCGUGCUCCUAAGCCGUUUUCGACAAUUAACUUUCAAAUCGACGAUCAGCUUCGUUAGACUUGACCUAGCGUACUUGAAAUAUCUAGAAAAUAAAUAUCUAUAAAUAAAUACCUCUUCAAACCUCUCCUCAGUUUGAAGCAAUCAGCACUUAAUUUUGAAAUAAGAUUAUUAGGGUAAACUGCUAAUAAUGAACAAGUCUGAACAUAUUGAAAAAUUUUCAAGACAGAGGGCAAC
RNAcentral lists this long non-coding RNA (79143 nucleotides) under Ananas comosus (pineapple). RNAcentral describes it as "long non-coding RNA (ACOM_LNC001477)". The record is from RNAcentral. Lineage: Eukaryota; Viridiplantae; Streptophyta; Magnoliopsida; Poales; Bromeliaceae.